CUAUCAAUAGGUUUAGAAAUAAUUGGUCUAAGAAGCUCGAGGAUGCACUGUGGGCUUGUAGAACUGCCUAUAAGAAUACCAUGGGCAUGUCUCCGUACAAAAUGGUAUACGGUAAAGCAUGUCAUUUACCUCUUGAGCUAGAGCAUAAGGCUUAUUGGGCAAUCAAAGAGCUCAACUUUGAUUUCAAACUUGCUGGUGAGAAGAGGUUAUUUGACAUUAGCUCACUUGAUGAAUGGAGGACACACACAUAUGAAAAUGCCAAGUUGUUCAAAGAAAAGGUUAAGAGGUGGCAUGAUAAAAGGAUACAGAAACGUGAGUUCAAUGUAGGUGAUUAUGUCUUGCUAUAUAAUUCUCGUUUAAGAAUUUUUGCAGGCAAGCUUCUCUCUAAAUGGGAAGGUCCUUACAUUGUUGAAGAAGUAUAUCGUUCCGGUGCCAUCAAGAUCAAUACCACGGAAGGCAAUUUUCCGAGAGUGGUAAAUGGGCAGAGAAUCAAGCAUUAUAUCUCAGGUACCCCCAUAAAUGUUGAAAGCGAUAUUAUCAAUACCAUAACUCCGGAGGAGUACCUAAGGGAUAUUUAUCAGCCUAUUUCAGACUCCGAAAGCGAAGAGGUAUGUGAUUCGGUAAGUAAACAAACUCCAAAACUUUUCCAGUAGGAAUUUUUCUCUGUUUUGGAAUUUUUGAAAAAAUAGAAAAAUUUGAAGCAGUCCGGAAAGCGCACGAGGAGGCGACAACCCCGCCAGGUGCGGGCCACCCCCCUCGCCGCGCCUGGGGGGCUUGUGACCACUUCGUGUGCCUCCCGGACUCCAUUUUCUUGCGUAGUACUCCUUCUGGUCAGAAAAAAAUCAUUAUAUAUUCUCCCGAAAGGUCUGACCCUCGUAUCACGCAAAUUUCCUGUGUCUUCGUUUCGGGCGUGUUUUCCGCCGCAGAUUUAGAGCAAGUAUGUCGUUUGAGGAAUCUGUCGGGGAGAACAAUUUCCCUCGAGUCUAUGAAGAAGUAGAUGCUGAUCUAAAAAGAGUGGAAGUCACGGAAGCUAAGGGCAAAACUAAGGAGAAGAAUCAGGCGUGGGACGAAGUGGAAUCUGUGUUCAACAAGGAAGAACUUGAAGAAGUGGAUUUCCUUCAACCCUACCUCCACCUACUGUCUCCAUCCUUGAUUGAACUCUUGAGGUUUUGUGAAACAACUCGUGUUCGUAAUACUUAUCUCACUCGUGAAGUUGUUUUGCUGGAGAAACAUAUCACAGAGAUCCAAGGUAUAAAUCAAAGAUUGAUGGCCCUCUUGGAAUCAAAGGACAAAACAACUCCAUCACCAUCACCUCCAAAGGAAGACAACUAAGCAUGGGUAUGGGCAAUCCCCUUGGCUUGUGCCAAACUUGGGGGAGUUGCCCCGGUAUCAUAUCACCAUCACAUCUUUUGCCUUUACCUUUUCUUAGUUCGUUCCUUUUUGGUUUUAUCUUUCUCUAGUAGAAUAAAGGUCUUAGUGUUUUAGGCUUGAGUUUUGCUUUGUGUCACCCCCGAUGUAUUCAAGCUCGUGAGCCAUAUAAUAAAGAGUGUUUUAGUUUAGGGCCUUGUUUCAUGCCAUGAUCAAGAGAAUGAUAAAAGAACAAAAGCAUGAAAGAUCAUGUAAUGAUCUUAUGGGAAUGUUGAUUGAAACUUGUUGAGGGUAGACAAACGUAGACCUUGGUCAUUGUUGCAAUUAAUAGGAAGUAAUAAGGAAAGAGAGGUUCACAUAUAAAUAUAUCAUCUAUGACACCAUCUAUGCUUGUGAACACUCACUAAACUAUUGCAUGCUUAGAAGUAGAUGUUGGACAUGGAAGACAACAUAAUGAAUUGUGUCUGCUUGGUUCCGAACAAUGUUAUAUGAUUAGAGAUCCCUUAGCAUGUGAUGAUUGCUUCCACCUCAUAUUAGCCAAAACUUCCGCACUAAGUAGAGAUACUACUUGUGCAUCCAUAAACUUUCAACCCUUGUUUUGCCAUGAGAGUCCACCAUACCUACCUAUGGAUUGAAUAAGAUCCCUCGAGUAAGUUGUCAUCGGUGCAAGCAAUAAAAAUUGCUCCCUAAUAUGUAUGAUCUAUUAGUAUGUGGAAAAUAAGCUUUGUACGAACCUGUGAUGAGGAAGACAUAAAAGCGACAGACUGCAUAAUAAAGUUCUUUAUCACAGGAGGCAAUAUAAAGUGACGUUCCUUCACACUAAGAGGACACACAUCCAUAUCUCAAAAGCGCAUGACAACCUCUGCUUCCCUCUGCGAAGGGCCUAUCUUGUACCUUUACUUUUUGCCCCUGAAAGAGUCAUGGUGGUCUACGCCAAUUCCUUAUUUUGCCUUUAUCUUGGUAACGUCAUAAGCUAGGGAAAGAUCUAUAUUAAUAUGUCAACUUGGAAGUAAGUAUUCAUGAUUUAUUAUUGUUGACAUUACCCUUGAGGUAAAUAGUUGGGAGGCGAAACUAUAAGCCCCUAUCUUUCUCUGUGUCCAACUGAAACUUUGAUCUCAUGAGUACCACGUGAGUUAUAGCAAUUGUAGAAAAUGAAAAGAUGAUUGAGUAUGUGGAUUUGCUUUACAAGCUCUUAUUUGACUCUUUCCGAUGUUGUGAUAAAUUGCAAUUGCUUCAAUGACUAAAGGCUAUCGGUUGUUAAUUCUCGGUAAGUCUCUUGACCCAUACUUUACCUUGUGAAGGAAUUGUCACUUUAGCAUAAGAGUUCAUAUGAUGGUAUUGCUGCUAUGACUAUGAUCAUGAUGCCUGCAUGUUCGUAUCUUGUUUUGUCGACACCUCUCUCUCUAAACAUGUGGGCAUAUUUAUUGAUCUUGGUUUUCGCUUGAGGACAAGCGAGGUCUAAGCUUGGGGGAGUUGAUACGUCCAUUUUGCAUCAUGCUUUCAUGUUGAUAUUAAUCGCUUUUUGGGCUGUUAUUACACUUCACGAUAGAAUAAUUAUGCCUUUUCUCUCUUAUUUUGCAAGGUUUACAUGAAGAGGGAGAAUGCCGGCAGCUGGAAUUCUGGCCUGAAAAAGGAGCAAGUUUAAGAUACCUAUUAUGCGCAACUCCAAAAGACGUGAAAAUCAACGAAGAUAUAUUUUGGAAUUUAUAAAAAAUACUGGGCCGAAGAAGUGAUAGAGGGGCGCCAGCAGGAGGCCACAAGCCUGCUAGGCGCGGCCUACCCCCAUGGCUGCGCCUAGGGGGCUUGUGGGCUGCCAGCUGGCCCUCUGCCCCCCUCUUUUGCUACAAGAAGGGUUUCGUUCCAGAAAAAAUCAAGAGGAGGCUUUUCGGAGGAUUCGCCGCCGCCACGAGGCGGAACUUGAGCAGAACCAAUCUAGAGCUCCGUCCGGACGAUCCUGCCAGGGAAACUUCCCUCCCGGAGGGGGAAAUCGUCGCCAUCGUCAUCACCAACACUCCGCUCAUCGGAGGGGACUCAUCACCAUCAACAUCUUCAUCAGCACCAUCUCAUCUCCAAACCCUAGUUCAUCUCUUGUAACCAAUCUCCGUCUCGCGACUCCGAUUAGUACUUGUAAGGUUGCUAGUAGUGUUUAUUACUCUUUUUUGUUGAUGCUAGUUGGAUUACUUGGUGGAAGAUUAUAUGUUCAGAUCUUUGAUGCUACUCAUUAUCUCUCUAGUCAUGAAUAUGAUUAUGCUUUGUGAGUAGUCACUUUUGUUCCUGAGGACAUGGGAUAAGUCAUGCUAUAAGUAGUCAUGUGAAUUUGGUAUUCGUUCAAUAUUUUUAUGUGUUGUAUGUUGUUUUUCCUCUAGUGGUGUUAUGUGAACGUCGAAUACAUAACACUUGACCAUUAUUUGGGCCUAGAGGAAGGCAUUGGGAAGUAGUAAGUAGAUGAUGGGUUGCUAGCGUGACAGAAGCUUAAACCCUAGUUUAUGCGUUGCUUCGUAAGGGGCUGAUUUGGAUCCACUAGUUUAAUGCUAAGGUUAGAGUUUGUCUUAAUUCUUAUUUCGUAGUUGCGUAUGCUUGCGAGAGGGGUUAAUCAUAAGUGGGAUUCUUGUCCAAGUAAGGGUAGUACCCAAGCGUCGGUCCACCCACAUAUCAAACUAUCAAAGUAGUGAACGCGAAUCAUAUGAACAUGAUGAAAAUUAGCUUGACAGAAUUUCCCAUGUGUCCUCGGGAGCACUUUACCUCCUAUAAGAGUUUGUCCAGGCUUGUCCCUUGCUACAAAAGGGAUUAGUCCACUUUGCUGCACCGUUGUUACUUUUGUUACUUGCUACUUGCUACGAAUCAUCUUAUCACACAGCCACUUGUUACCGAUAAUUUCAGUGCUUGCAGAUAUUACCUUGCUGAAAACCACUUGUCAGAUCCUUUCCUCCUCGUUGGGUUCGACACCCUUACAUAUCAAAAGGACUACGAUAGAUCCCCUAUACUUGUGGGUCAUCAAUGAUCUACUCCGGUAGGGCUUCGCCUAAGCUCCGGAGAAAUACGAUCUAGAGGAAAAACUCCGUGGUAUAGGGUCGAGCAACACGUGGAAAAGUUGUGUCUCAAAAACCAUCAAUACCUCUACUACAUAUAGGAGGGAGGGAGGGGAGGAGGCAGCCUCAAACCCUCAAGGUUUGGCCGAAAUUGGAGUUGGAGGAGUCCUAUUCCAAUCCUACUUGGAGUAGGAUUCCACCUUCCCACUUGGAAACUCUUUCCACCUUGUGUUCUUUCCUUCUCAAACCUUAUGGGCCUUAGUGGGAACUUAUUCCAGCUCACUAGGGGCUGGUUUAUCUCUUCCCAUAUCCCAUGAGACCCCUUGGGCGUGACACCCCUCCCGAUGGUCCCCGGCACUCCUCCCGACACUCCUGGUACACUACCGAUGAGCCCGAAACUUUUCCGGUGAACAAAACAGGACUUCCUAUAUAUCAAUCUUUACCUCCGGGCAUUCCGGAGCUCCUCGUGACAUCCUGGAUCUCAUCUGGGACUCCGAACAACUUUCAGUUACCAACACCUAUAACUCAACUAUACCGAAACGUCACCGAACCUUAAGUGUGCAGACCCCGCGGGUUCGAGAACUAUGUAGACAUGACCCGAGACAGUCCUCGGUCAAUAUCCAAUAGCGGGACCUGGAUGCCCAUAUUGGAUCCUACAUAUUCUCCGAAGAUCUUAUCGGUUGAACCUCAGUGUCAAGGAUUCAUAUAAUCCCGUAUGUCCUUCGGUAUGUUACUUGCCCGAGAUUUGAUCGUCGGUAUCCGCAUACCUAUUUCAAUCUCGUUAUCGGCAAGUCUCUUUACUUGUUCCGUAAUACAUAAUCCCGUGACUUAUACUUAGUCACAUUGCUUUCAAGGCUUGUGUGUGAUGUUGUAUUACCGAGUGGGCCCCGAGAUACCUCUCCGUCACACUGAGUGACAAAUCCCAGUCUUGAUCCAUACUAACUCAACGGACACCUUCAGAGAUACCUGUAGAGCACCUUUAUAGUCACCCAGUUAUGUUGCGACGUUUGAUGCACACAAGGUAUUCCUCCGGUUCCAGUGAGUUAUAAGAUCUCAUGGUCAUAGGAACAAAUACUUGACAUGCAGAAAACAAUAGCAAUAAAACGACAUGAUCAAUAUGCUACGUUCAUAGUUUGGGUCUUGUCCAUCACAUGAUUCUCCUAAUGAUGUGAUCCCGUUAUGAAGUGACAAAACUUGCCUAUGGCCAGGAAACCUUGACCAUCUUUGAUCAACGAACUAGUUAACGAGAGGCUCACUAGGGACAGUGUGUUGUCUAUGUAUCCACACAUGUAUUUGAGUUUCCAAUCAGUACAAUUCUAGCAUGGAUAAUAAAUGAUUAUUAUGAACACGGAAAAUAUAAUAAUAACUAAUUUCUUAUUGCCUCUAGGGCAUAUUUCCAACAAUCUCCCACUUGCACUAGAGUCAAUAAUCUAGUUCACAUCACCAUGUGAUUUUAACGAAUCCAACAACCAUAUAGUUCUCGGGUCUGAUCACGUCUUGCUCGUGAGAGAGGUUUUAGUCAACGGUUCUGAAACUUUCAGAUCCGUGUGUGCUUUACAAAUCUUUAUGUCAUCUUAUAGAUGCUGCUACAACGUGCUAUUCGGAAAUACUCCAAAUAUCUACUCUACUAUACGAAUCCGUUUUACUACUCAUAGUUACUCGGAUUAGUGUCAAAGCUUGCAUCGACAUAAUCCUUUACGACGAACUCUUCAACCACCUCCAUAAUUGAGAAAAAUUCCUUAGUCUAUUAGUUACUAAGGAUAACUUUGAUCGAUGUUUAGUGAUUCAAUCCUGGAUCACUCUCUGUACCUCUUAACAGACUUGUGCCAAGGCACACAUCAGGUGCGGUACACAUCAUGGCAUACUAUAGAGUCCAUGUCUAAGGCAUAAGGGACGACCUUCGUCCUUUCUGUUUCUUCUGCCGUGGUCCGGCUUUUGAGUCUUAGACAUAUUCACACCUUACAACACAGCCAAGAACUCCUUCUUUGUUGAUAUAUUUUGAACUCCCUCAAAAACUUGUCAAGGCAUGCAUUUCAUUUGAAAGUUCUGUUUAGCAUUUUUGAUCUAUCUCCAUAGAUCUUGAUGCUCAAUGUUUAAGUAGCUCUAUUCAGGUCUUCCUUUGAAAACCCCCUUUCAAACAACCUUUAUGCUUUACAGAAAUUCUACAUUACUUUCGACCAACAAUAUGUCAAUCACAUAUACUUAUCAGAAAUUCUAUAGUGCUCCCACUCACUUCUUUGGAAAUACAAGUUUCUCAUAAACCUUGCACAAACCCAAAAGCUUUGAUCAUCUCAUCAAAGCGUAUAUUCCAAUUCCGAGAUGCUUGCACCAGUCCAUAAAAGGAUCGCUGGAGCUUGCAUACUUGUUAGUAUCCUUAGGAUCGACAAAACCUUCUGGUUGUAUCACAUACAACCUUUCCUCAAGGAAACUGUCAAGGAAACAAUGUUUUGACAUCCUAUGUGCAAUAUUUCAUAAAUAAUGCAACAACUACUAACAUAAUUCCAAUAGACUUUUAGCAUCGCUAUGAGUGAGAAAGUCUCAUCAUAGUCAACUCUUUGAUCUUGUCGAAAAUAUCUUUGCGACAAGUCGAGCCUUUUUUAAUGGUGAAUUUUCACCAUCAUCGUCUGUAUUCCUUUCAAAGAUCCAUAUUUACUUAAUAGUCCUACAACCAUCAAGUAGUUCUCCCAAAGUCUACACUUUGUUUUCAUUCAUGGAUCCUCUCUCGGAUUUCAUGGCCUCCAACCAUUUGUCGGAAUCUGGGCCCACCAUCGCUUCUCCAUAGCUCGUAGGUUCAUUGUUGUUCAACAACAUGACCUCCAAGACAGGGUUACCGUACCACUCUGCAGUAGUAUGCGACCUUGUCGACCUACGAGGUUUGUAGUAACUUGAUCCGAAGCUCAAUGAUCACCAUCAUUAGUUUCUACUUCCAUUGGUAUAGGCGCCACAGGAACAUUUUUCUGCACCCUGCUACACACUGGUUGAAGUGACGGUUCACUAACCUCAUCAAGUUCCACCACCCUCCCACUCAAUUGUUUCAAGAGAAACCUUUCCUCGAGAAAGGACCCGUUUCUAGCAACAAAUACUUUGCUUCUAGAUCUGAGAUAGGAGAUGUACCCAAUUGUUUUGGAUAUCCUAUGAAGAUGCAUUUAUCUGCUUUGGGUUCGAGCUUAUCAAAUUGAAACUUUUUUGCAUAAGCGUCGCAGCCCCAAACUUUUAAGAAACGACAGCUCAGGUUUCUCCAAACCAUAGUCUAUACUGUGUCAUCUCAACGGAAAUACGCGGUGCCCAAUUUAAAGUGAAUGCGGUUGUCUCUAAUGCAUAACCCAUAAACGAUAAUGGUAAUUCGAUAAGAGACAUCAUAAUAUGUACCAUAUAAAAAUAGGGCGUAGCUAUGACGUUCGGACACACCAUCACACUAUGGUGUUCUAGGUGGCAUGAAUUGCAAAACAAUUUCCACAUUGUCUUAAGUGCGUACCAAAACUCGUAACUCAGAUAUUCAUCUCUAUGAUCAUAUCGUAGACAGUUUAUCCUCUUGUCACGACGAUAUUCACUCUGAAAUAGCUUUGAACUUUUCAAUAUUUCAGACUUGUGAUUCAUCAAGUAAAUACUCCUGUAUCUACUCAAAUCGUCAGUGAAGUAAGAACAUAACGACAUCCACUGCGUGCCUCAUCACUCAUUGGAUUGCACAGAUUAAAAAUGUAUCACUCCCAACAAGUUACUCUCUUGUUUCAUGUGGCAUGAUUUGCAUGUCUCAAGUGAUUCAAAAUCAAGUGAGUCCAAACGAUCCAUUUCUAUGGAGCUUCUAAAUGCAUUUAUACCAACAGGUAUGGUUUGCAUGUCUCAAACGUUUCAAAAAUGAGUGAGUACAAAGAUCCAUCAGCAUGGACUUCUUCAUGCAUUUUAUACCAACAUGACUCAAGUAGUAGUGCCACAACUAAGUGGUACUAUCAUUAUUACUUUGUAUCUUUGGCACCAAUAUUAUGAACAUGUGUAACACUAUGAUUGAGAUACACUAAGUGGUAAUUAUUCAAGCAAAUAAAAUAACUUUUAUUCUCUUUAAAUGAAUAAUCGUAUUGCAAUAAACAUGAUCCAAUCAUGUUCAUGCUCAACGCAAAUACCAAAAAAAUAAUUAUUUAGCUUUUACCACCAAUCCGGAUGAUAGAGGGAACGUGCGAUGUUUGAUCACAUCAACCUUGGAAACACUUCAAACACUUAUCGUCACCUCGCCUUUAGCUAGUCUCCGUUUAUACCAUAGCUAUUAUUUCGAGUUACUAAUCACUUAGCAACCGAACUGGUAUCCAAUACCCUCGUGCUACUCGAAGUACUAGUAAAGUACACAUCAAUAUCAUGUGUAUAAAAUAUACUUCUGUUGACUUUUCCAGCCUCCUUAUCUACCAAGUAUGUAGGGUAGCUCUGCCUUAGUGAUCGUUCCCCUCAUAACAGAAGCACUUAGUCUCGGGUUUGGGUUCAAUCUUGGGUUUCUUCAUUAGAGCAGCAACUGGUUUGCUGUUUCAUGAAGUAUCCCUUCUAACCCUUGCCCUUUUAGAAACUAGGGGUUUUACUAACCAUCAAAAAUUGAUGCUCCUUCUUGAUUUCUACUUUCGCAGUGUCAAACAUUGCGAAUCACUCAAGGAUCAUCAUAUCUAUCCUUUAUAUGUUGUAGUUCAUCACGAAGCUUUAGCAGCUUAGUGGCAGUGACUUUGGAGAACUAUCACUACCUCAUCUGGAAGAUCAACUCCCACUUGAUUCAAGCGAUUGUUGUACUCAGACAACCUGAGAACAUGCUCAACAAUUGAGUUUUUCUCUUUUACUUUGUAGACAAAGAAUCUUGUGAGAGGUCUCACACCUCUCAACAAGGGCACGAGUAUGAAAUCUCAGUUUCAUCUCCUAGAACAUCUCUUAUGUUCCCCGACGUUUCAAAACGUCUUCGACGCCUUGCUUCUAAGCCAUUAAGUAUUACACACUGAACUAUCACGUAGUCAUCAAAACGUGUAUGUCAGAUGUUCGCAACAUCCACAGACGACGCUCGAGGUGCAGCACACCGAGUGGUGCAUUAAGGACAUAAGACUUCUGUGUAGCAAUGAGGACAAUCCUCAGUUUUACAGACUCAGUCCGCAAAGUUGCUACUAUCAACUUUCAACUAAAUUUUCUCUAGGAACAUAUAAAAACAGUAGAGCUAUAGUGCAAGCUACAUCAUAAUUUGCAAAGACCAUUAGACUAUGUUCAUGAUAAUUAGUUCAACUAAUCAUAGUACUUAAGAACUCCCACUCAAAAAGUACAUAUCUCUAGUCAUUUGAGUGGUACAUGAUCCAAAUCCACUAACUCAAGUCCGAUCAUCACGUGAGUUGAGAAUAGUUUCAGUGGUAAGCAUCUCUAUGCUAAUCAUAUCAACUAUACAAUUCAUGCUCGACCUUUUGAUCUCUUGUGUUCUGAGGCCAUGUCUGCACAUGCUAGGCUCGUCAAGUUUAACCCGAGUGUUCCGCGUGUGCAACUGUUUUGCACCCGGUGUAUGUGAACGUUGAGUCUAUCACACCCGAUCAUCACGUGGUGUCUCGAAACGACGAACUGUCGCAACGGUGCACAGUCGGGGAGAAUACAAUUUUGUCUUGAAAUUUUAGUGAGAGAUCACCUUAUAAUGCUACUGUUGUUCUAACCAAAAUAAGGUGCAUAAAAUGAUUAACAUCACAAUUCAUAAGUGACAUGAUAUGGCCAUCAUCAUGUGCUUCUUGAUCUCCAUCACCAAAGCACAUACACAAUCUUCUUGUCACCGGCGCCACACCAUGAUCUCCAUCAUCAUGAUAUCCAUCAACGUGUCGCCGUCGGGGUUGUCGUGCUACUUAUGCUAUUACUACUAAAGCUACGUCCUAGCAAUAUAGUAAACGCAUCUGCAAACACAAACGUUAGUUUAAAGACAACCCUAUGGCUCCUGUCGGUUGUCGUACCAUCGACGUGCAAGUCGAUAUUAACUACUACAACAUGAUCAUCUCAUACAUCCAAUAUAUCACAUCACGUCAUUGGCCAUAUCAUAUCACAAGCAUACCCUGCAAAAACAAGUUAGACGUCCUCUAAUUUGUUGUUGCAUGUUUUACGUGGCUGCUAUGGGUAUCUAGUAGAUCGCAUCUUACUUACGCAAAAACCACAACGGAGAUGUGCAAAUUGCUAUUUAACCUCUCCAAGGACUGCCUCAGUCAAAACCAAUUCAACUAAAGUUGAAGAAACUUACACCCGCCAAUCAUCUUUAUGCAACGAGGUUGCAUCUCAACCGAUGAAACCAGUCUUUCGCAAGCGUACGAAUAAUGUCGGUCCGGGCCGCUUCAAUCUAACAAUACCGCCGAAUCGAGAGAAGACUAAGGAGGGCAGCAAAUCGAACAUCACCAUCCACAAAACCCUUUGUGUUCUACUCGAGAUAACAUCUACGCAUGAACCUAGCUCUGAUACCACUGUUGGGGAACAUUGCAUGGGAAACAAAAAAUUUCCUACGCACACGAAGACCUAUCAUGGUGAUGUCCAUCUACAAGAGGAGAUUUGGAUCUACGUACCUGUCGGGACCCCGAUCCUAAGCCAUAGGAAUCCAGCCUGUCACACAUCGCAUCCCUUUGUGGUCUCACGCACGGUUAACUCCACGGCUGCAACCUUACCUUAGCCGGGACCGUUUACGCCUUUUGACUCACGUAUGCAAUUGUGUCGCUAGCAUUCCAAUGUCAAAGAACCCGGAUCGACAAGUCUAGUCAUAAACCAAAGUGGCAGUACCGCACAAUUACAGGCAUACAUGACCCAACAAAGCAGGUGUCGGUCACCAGCGAGUGUAGACGAGUCUUAGCAAGCUACAAGGACUCCAUUACAUCGCGUGACAUUUCCCCAAAGAGGACAGACACAUCAGCUAAGAAGGACACAUGCCAGUCAACCAAUGUGUCCAGAGCAGUAGCGAGCUACCAUGGCUCGUUGGAUCACAAAGGGGCAUUUCCCUGUAAGGAGUGCUACUAAAGUUCACGGCUAGGUAAUCGAACCCCAUACAUAUCAAGUACGACACACGUACGCAUGGCAUACCGAUAUGUAUAGAUACAUCGAUGGCAUCACAACAUAACCAUAAACAUACAAGCUUUAUUUAAGAGGCUCGGAAGAGCCACACACAUAAUAUUACACAGUAAGUGUCUCACGACCCAUAAUAGUAGUCAUUCAGUUACAAGCCAGCGGAAGUGUUUAAAACUGUCUGAGUACAGACAUGUGCAACUAGAAGGCACAUGGUCUGACUAUACUAUAGACCCAACCUAGGGCCAGAUCGUAGCUGGGACACCAGCUACUCGUCGUCGUCGAUGUCUAUGAAGAACCCUCCAUUAGGGUCAUUAGCAACCUCUGCAACAUUUAAGAAGCAAACAUGAGUACGGAGGUACUCAGCAAGACUUUAGGAUAACUAACUACUCAUGCAAUGUAUCAAUAAGGUAUGGUGGGGUUUCAUGAGGAAAGCCAACAUUUGACUCGUGGCUAGACAACUUGCAUUUUUAAAUAAUUUUGACAACUUGAUUUCUCGCACACGAGUCAACUAACACCGCAACAAUACACCAUCGUGGAAUCAUUCUGUCUCCAUACGGAAAUGCCAUCCGCGACACUCACGCUUGUCUUGAUAAUUUUAUGAGUAGACACUUAAGUUAUCUAUGAACAACAUAUGUCUCCAAGUAGUCCAUAUCCGCGGCCGCGGCUAUUCGAAUAGAUCAUAACCCUGCAGGGGUGUACUUCGUCACACACGCUCUCUCCACUUAUCGCCAUGUGCACUUCAUGCACCUCGGCAACCUUCAAGCGGAAGCCCAGCGAGGGAGUCGGCCACGACCGUUAACCACACUAGUACCUAGUCCAGGUCUAUCGCCUAUCUGAGGGUAACCCGCACGAAAGUCCGGCCGAGGUUUCCGCCACGGCCCCAAACGAUGUGCGCAGGGUUCCCAAGCCCACCAUCCGGGUGCCACUUGGUACACCGUGCCACUGCCUACCGCAACACAACCCACCUCUCAGGUCAGCACCAUGCACGGCCUCCAGCAUGACUAUAAACACCAGAAACUACUUGCAACUCCUGGACCGAGUACUAAGCGAUUAAUAAUUUGAGCGGGGUCAUAUUUCAGGGCCCAGCAUGUGGUAGUAUCUCGUCUUGGAUUACAUAUACGGAACUCAGUUCCUAAGGACGGUUCCAAUGAAACAACCCGCCAUGUACUCCUACACAGCCUUUCACCGGUACCUUUACCAAAUCAGGUUCAACACACAACCUUUGCUUACCGAACACAUUCUCACAAUUCUGUUCAUCUCCCAGAUGACAGACCAUACACAACUCUAAGCAUAGCAUGCAUAGAAGGAUAAGGCACAUCAUGGCUCAAGCAACUACCAGGUAUGCUAGGUUGCAAGGUUCAGCUAUUUACUAUGACAAGGAUAGGUCAUGCAAAGGAAGUGGGUUCAACUAACGUGGCAAAAGCAUUUGAAGCAUUUGAUCCUAAUGCAAUAAGUAAGUGCAGGAGCAAGGACAUGGGAUUUAUCGGGAUGAUCAAAAAUGGUUGCUUGCUUUGUUGCUCAGAGGAGUGACAAUAUCCGUCAGACGGAUAUUCGGUGGAAUCCAGGGGAGUGGAGCCUACCGAAAGGAAUGACAACAAUCAAUAACAAACAUAUGCAAUCAAGAUGAUGCAUGAGCAUGGCAUGAGAGUGAAAGAUGGUAUACUAUUAUAGCUAAUAUGUAUUAGGUUUGAAGUUGAUUUGAAUCAAAUUCAAAUAUCACUUCAAACGAGGUAUUCUCGGAUACCAUUUUAAUUGAUUCAACCUGAUGCUCAGAUCAACUUGCUUUUAACAUGCAUGGGAUGACAUUUUAGGUUGCUGGUUUGUAAUUAGGACAGUGUUUGAUCAUGUCAUUUAUAGUGAAAUUUAAAUAUUUUCCAAAUUCCACCUACAAAGUAUUUAUAAGAAUUAACUUAUUCAUUAAUCUACAUGUUUGGGUUCUGUAACAUUUUCAAACAUGUUUGAAAAUGACAUAUUCAGAUUCCUUGAUUUUUUUGAUACUUUUUCAUAUAUAAAUUAUUUUCAUUGGAGUUACAGAUUAAUUUCUAUGAAUUUUAGAAGUUUUGGCAUUUUUCUGGAAUUUUUUUAAAUCAGAAAACUCUUUAUUGCAUCAGCAUGACAUCAGCAGGUCCAACUGGCCGUUGAAAGUCAAACCUGACCAGUGGGACCACUGGUCAGUGACUCUGGUCUGUUUUAGAUUAGAAUUAAUCUUAAUUAGCUAAAUUACCUCUCUGGACCCACAUGUCAGUGACUUAUCAAAUUAAUUAAAUUUAUUUUUGGUAAUCCUAAACUCCGAGAGGCUGGCCCCACGCGUCAGUGGCUCAGGCCAGCUGAGAUCCUCCGGCGGCGAGGUCGUCCUCACCGGUGGGGAGCCUCCGGCGACCACCAGAACGGCGGAGGGGCUCGGAAACGGUGCACAGGGGGGCCAAACUCUGCGCGGAGAGCACCAGAGGAACGACACGUCUCCCGCGGGUUCAUUUUUGCACUUAGCCGGGGCUGAUCUGGCCGGAGAUGAUGCCGGUGACAAGCUUGGCGGCGGCCAAAGUUCGGGCGUCAUUGGGGUCAUCGAAACAGAGGGAGCUACGCACGGAACUCAGCUCCUACGGCAUCUCCGCGAUGGCCUGAAGCUGCUGGUGGCCUAAGAAGGACGAGCUGAUCACCGGAGGGCUACCGGCGACGAGCUCCCGCGGUGGAUCUCGUCGGGCUCCGGUGAAAUCAUGGCUAGAGGAAGGAAUCGAAGGGGGAAACUUGGGGAAGAGUUGCGCAAGCUCACGGGGAAUGCAGUGGUGGCGCUAGCUUGCUCGGGGAUGGCCUGGAGAGGAAGAACGCCGGCGACGAACUUCGGUGACCCGAGGAAGAAGACGACUGCGUCUCGUCGUUUCACUGCGUCUCGGCGCCGGGCUUGUGGCUAGAAAGCUUCAGGGAGUUGUGGCGGACCUAUUGCGCGGCUCAGGAGGGAGAAGGGUAGGCUAGAAUGACGGCGAGCUCGAGCUCUGCUCGGGCUCCAAUGGCGGCAGAAAGAAACGAGGCAGAGGGGGAGAAUGAGGAGAGGAUGAGCUCGGGCACGCCUCGGGAGGGUUAUCCCCUCGCGUGCCAGCACAGAGCGGCGGCCAGGCAGGCGCACAGGUGCGUGGCCGCGCCGGAGUACGCGGCGGCCACCUCCUGCUGCCCACUGGCGGGGGAGGAAGACGACAGGAAGAAGCUGGGCCGGGCCAGGUGAGCGACACGUAAGACUUUUCUCAUUUUCUUUCUGUUUUGUUUCUGUUUUAAUUACUGACAUUGAUUACUAUUUAUUUCAGCUCCCAAAUAGUUUGUAAAAACUAUUUUGAACACACCAGAAUAUUUGUUGGAAUAUAUCCAACCAUUCCUGGAGUUUCCAAUAUUUUUGAAAACUUAAAGUUUCUGAUUUCAAAUUUUAAACUUGAAAACAAUAGCUUUUUUGCAUUUAUUUAAAAUGCUUAAAGUAUCAUGAAAGUGGUUUUCUUCAUUGCUUAUUUACUUCCAAGAUUUAUCAGUAAGAUUGAACUUUUCUUGAGGCCAUUUUGGGUUCAUUGAUUUUAACUAGUUUGAAAUUUCCUUUCAUUUGAGAAGUGGCUAGGGUUUGUUGAAUUUUCCUUCACCACUUACUUUGUUCUUGUUGAAAAUUUCCUAGAUGCAAUGCAAAGAAAACAUGAGCACAAGGCUAACUUGAUUAAGGUGUCAGGGAUGUGACAGUACCCUUGUAGAUCGCACAGCAGGAAGCGUUAAGAAACGCGGUUGAUGUAGUGGAAUGUCUUCACGUCCCUCGAACCGCCCCACGAACCGUCCCACGAACCGUCUCGCGAUCCGUCCCACGAUCCGUCCCGCGAUCCGUCCAACGAACCGUCUCACGAACCGUCUUGCGAUCCAUCUUCAUGAUCCGUUCCGGUUUAGUGCCGAACGGACGACACCUCCACGUUCAGCACACGUACAUCUCGAUCACGAUCUCCACCUUCUUGAUAUAGGGUCGAUUAGCACGUGGCAAAGUUGUGUCUCAAAAACCCUCAAUACCUCUAGUAUAUAUAGGAGGGAGGGAGGGGAGGAGGCAGCCUCAAACCCUCAAGGUUUGGCCGAAAUUGGAGGUGGAGGAGUCCUACUCCAAUCCUACUUGGAGUAGGAUUCCACCUUCCCACUUGGAAACUCUUUCCACCUAGUGGUUUUUCCUUCUCAAACCUUAUGGGCCUUAGUGGGAACUUAUUCCAGCCCACUAGGGGCUGGUUUAUCUCUUCCCAUAGCCCAUGAGACCCCUUGGGGCGUGACACCCCUCCCGAUGGUCCUCGGCACCCCUCCCAGCACUCCUGGUACAUUACCGAUGAGCCUGAAACUUUUCCGGUGACCAAAACAGGACUUCCUAUAUAUAUCAAUCUUUACCUCCGGACCAUUCCGGAGCUCCUCGUGAUGUCCUGGAUCUCAUGUAGGACUCCAAACAACUUUCGGUUACCAACACCUAUAACUCAACUAUAUCGAAACGUCAUCGAACCUUAAGUGUGCAGACCCUGCGGGUUCGAGAACUAUGUAGACAUGACCCGAGACACUCCUCGGUCUAUAUCCAAUAGCGGGACCUGGAUUCCCAUAUUGUAUCCUACAUAUUCUCCGAAGAUCUUAUCAGUUGAACCUCAGUGUCAAGGAUUCAUAUAACCCCGUAUGUCAUUCCCUUUGUCCUUUGGUAUGUUACAUGCAGGAGAUUUGAUCGUCGGUAUCCACAUGCCUAUUUCAAUCUCGUUAUCGACAAGUCUCUUUACUCGUUUCGUAAUACAAGAUCCCGUGACUUACACUUAGUCACAUUGUCUGCAAGGCUUGUGUGUGAUGUUGUAUUACCGAGUGGGCCCCGAGAUACCUCUCCGUCACACGAAGUGACAAAUCCCAGUCUUGAUCCAUACUAACUCAACGGACACCUUCGGAGAUACAUGUAGAGCACCUUUAUAGUCACCCAGUUACAUUGCGACAUUUGAUGAACACAAGGUAUUCCUCCGGUGCCAGUGAGUUAUAUGAUCUCAUGGUCAUAGGAACAAAUACUUGACAUGCAGAAAACAAUAGCAAUAAAACGACACGAUCAAUAUGCUACGUUCAUAGUUUGGGUCUUGUCCAUCACAUGGUUCUCCUAAUGAUGUGAUCCCGUUAUCCAGUGACAACACUUGCCUAUGGCCAGGAAACCUUGACCAUCUUUGAUCAACGAACUAGUCAACUAGAGGCUCACUAGGGACAGUGUGUUGUCUAUGUAUCCACACAUGUAUUUGAGUUUGCAAUCAAUACAAUUCUAGCAUGGAUAGUAAACAAUUAUUAUGAACAAGGAAAUAUAAUAAUAACUAAUUUAUUAUUGCCUCUAGGGCAUAUUUCCAACAAAUUGUUUAUUUUCCAUGUUAGAAUUGUAUUUAUUGGAAACUCAGAUACAUGUGUGGAUACAUAGACCACACACAGUCCCUAGUAAAUCUCUAGUAGACUAGAUCGUUGAUCAAAGAUGGUCAAGGUUUCCUGGCCAUAGACAAUUGUUGUCACUUGAUAACAAGAUCACAUCAUUAGGAGAAUGAUGUGACGGACAAGACCAAAUUAUGAACGUAGCAUAUGAUCGUGUCAGUUUAUUGCUACUGUUUUCUGCAUGUCAAGUAACUGUUCCUAUGACCAUGAGAUUAUGUAACUCACUAACACCGGAGGAAUACCUUGUGUGUACCAAACAUCGCAAUGUUACUGGGUGACUAUAAAGUUGUUGGCGAACAUAGCAUAAAUUCAAAAUUUUCCUACGCCAUAUUCAGAUCUUCCAAUGGAGAGACCAGCAACGAGAGAGGGGUGAGUGCAUCUUCAUACCGUUGAAGAUCACUAAGCGGAAGCAUUGCUAGAACGCGGUUGAUGGAGUCGUACUCGCGGCGAUUCACAUCGCGGUGUGACUCCGAUCUAGUGCCGAACCACGGCACCUCCGUGUGCAACACAAGUGCAGCGCGGUGACGUCUCCCGCACCUUAAUCCAGCAAGGACGAGGGGGAGAUGUUGGGGAAGAUCUCCGGCAGCACGAAGGCAUGGUGUCGAUGGAGAGACGAGGUCUCCCGGUAGGGCUUCGCCAAGCACUGUGGGAGAGGAGGAAGGAGGGGAGCAGGGCUGCGCCGAGGGAGAGGGCAAACUGUGUGGAAAACAGCCCCAAAACCCUCUCUAUAUAUAGGAGGAGGGGAGGGGGGGUGUGCCACCCCUAGGGUUCCCACCCAAGGUGGUGUGGAAGCCCCCCCAGAUGGGAGGUGCGGUGGCCAGGUCAGGGAGAGGGGGUGGCGCACCCAUAGGUGGGCCUUAGGCCCACCAGCGCCUAGGGUUUGCCCCAUCUCCACCUCCUGCGCCUUGAGCCUCUAUGUGGAGGUGCACCAGCCUACUUUGGGCUGGUUGCCCUCUACCUAUUGGCCCACGCUACCUCUUGGGGCUGGUGGCCCCUCCCGGUGGACCCCCGGAACCAUUUCCGGUGGUCCCUGUACACUACCGGUGACGCCCGAAACAUUUCCGGUGUCCAAACCCAUCCAUCCUAUAUAUCAAUCUUUACCUCCGGACCAUUCCGGAGCUCCUCGUGACGUCCGGGAUCUCAUCCGGGACUCUGAACAUUAUUCGGUAACCUUGUAUAACAAUGCCCUAUAACCCUAGCGUCAUCGAACCUUAAGUGUGUAGACCCUACGGGUUCGGGAAGCAUGCACACAUGACCGAGACACUCUCCGACCAGUAACCAUCAGUGGGAUUUGGAUACCCAUGGUGGCUCCCACAUGUUCCACGAUGAUCUCAUCGGAUGAACCAUGAUGUCAAGGAUUCAAUCAAUCCCGUAUACAAUUCCCUUUGUCUAUCGGUAUAGAACUUGCCCGAGAUUCGAUCGUCGGUAUGCCUAUACCUUCUUCAAUCUCGUUACCGUUAAGUCUCUUUACUCGUUCCGUAGCACGUCAUCCUAUGACUAACUCCUUAGUCACAUUGAGCUCAUGAUGAUGUUUUACCGAGUGGGCCCAGAGAUACCUCUCCGUCACACGGAGUGACAAAUCCCGAUCUCGAUUCAUACCAACCCAACAGACACUUUCGGAGGUACCCGUAGUGCACCUUUAUAGUCAUCCAGUUACGUUGUGACGUUUGAUACACCCAAAGAACUCCUACGGUAUCCAGAGUUGCACAAUCUCACGGUCGAAGGAAAAGACACUUGAUAUUAGAAAAGCUUUAGCAUACAAACAAUACGAUCUAGUGCUAUGCUUAGGAUUGGGUCUUGUCCAUCACAUCAUUCUCCCAAUGAUGUGAUCCCGUUAUCAAUGACAUCUAAUGCCCAUGAUCAGGAAACCAUGAUCAUCUAUUGAUUAACGAGCUAGCCAACUAGAGGCUUGCUAGGGACACAUUGUGAUCUAUUUAUUCACACAUGUAUUACUGUUUCCUGUUAAUACAAUUAUAGCAUGAACAAUAGACGAUUAUUGUGAACAAGGAAAUAUGAUAAUAACCAUUUUAUUAUUGCCUCUAGGGCAUAUUUCCAACAGUCUCCCACUUGCACUAGAGUCAAUACUCUAGUUACAUUGUGAUGUAUCGAACACCCAUAGCAUUAUGGGGUUGAUCAUGUUUUGCUCGAGGAAGAGGUUUAGUCAACGGGUCUGCAACAUUCAGAUCCGUGUGUACUUUACAAAUAUCUAUUACUCGACUCUGUACAUGGUCCUGGAUGGAGUUGUCGCGGCGUUUGAUGUGCUUGGUCUUCCAGUGAAACCUGGGCUCCUUGCAUAUGGGAAUGGCCCCAAUGUUAUCACAGAAGAGCGUCAUUGGACCCGACGCGCUUGGAACCACUCCAAGGUCGGUGAUGAGCUCCUUCAUCCAAAUUCCUUCAUGAGCCGCUUCUGAAGCAGCUAUGUACUCCGCUUCACAUGUAGAUGUUGCCAUGACUUCUUGCUUGCUGCUGCACCAGCUCACUGCCCCACCAUUCAAAACAUACACGUAUCCGGUCUAUGACUUAGAGUCAUUUGGAUCUGUGUCGAAGCUAGCAUUGACGUAACCCUUUACGAUGAGCUCUUCGUCACCUCCAUAAAUGAGAAACAUCUCCUUAGUCCUCUUCAGGUACUUAAGGACAUUCUUGACCGCUGUCUAGUGUUCCAUACCGGGAUCACUUGGUUACCUCCCUGCCAAACUUAUGGCAAGGUUUAUAUCAGGUCUGGUACAUAGCAUGGCAUACAUUAGAGAGCCUACGGCUGAAGCGUAGGGGACAGUACGCAUCUUCUCUCUAUCUGCUGUCGUGGUCGGUGACUGAGUCUUACUCAAUCUCAUACCUUGCAAAACUGGCAAGAACCCCUUCUUUGAGUUUUCCAUAUUGAACUUCUUCAAUAUCUUGUCAAGGUAUGUACUUUGCGAAAAAGCAAUGAGGCGUCUCGAUCUAUCUCUAUAGAUCUUGAUGCCUAAUAUGUAUGUAGCUUCUCCAAGGUCCUUCAUCGAAAAACUCUUGUUCAAAUAGGCAUUUAUGCUCUCCAACAUCUCUAUAUUAUUCCCCAUCAAUAAUAUGUCAUCCCCAUACAGUAUGAGGAAAGCUACAGAGCUCCCACUCACUUUCUUGUACAGACAUGCUUCUCCAUAAACCUGUAUGAACCCAAACGAUUUAAUCACCUCAUUAAAGCGAAUGUUCCAACUCCGAGAUAAUUGCACCAGCCCAUAGAUGGAGCACUGGAGCUCGCACACUUUGUUAGCACCCUUAGGGUCGAAAAACCAUCUGGUUGCAUGCUACUGCAACAAAAUACCUUCCAACGGCGCCAGAAAUAGGCGUGUUGACGGGAGACUAUUCUUGUCUUGAUACUCCUCGGCAACGGCGCCAGGAAUCCUUCUGCUACGGCUACGCCUUUAGGGACUUCCUUGGAAAAUAUGCAAAGGAUUCCCCCGUGGCCUUGGAGCCUUGCGUUGGUGUUCCCUCGAAGCGGAAAGGGUGAUGUAGCACAGCGGUGGUAAGUAUUUCCCUCGGUUUGGAGAACCAAGGUAUCGAUCCAGUGGGAGGAUCAUGUCAAGUCACAAGUACCUGCACAAACACAAAGAGCUUGCACCCAACGCUAUGAAGGGGUUGUAAAUCCCUUAUAGAUUGUUUGCAACGUCAGAACUGAAAGCAAAAAGUAAACAAAGCAAAGUAAAAGUGAAAGUGGAGACGAUAGUUGUGAAUAGACCCGGGGGCCGUAGUGUUCACUAGUGGCUUCUCUCAUGAAAGCAAGUAGACGGUGGGUGAACGAAUUACUGUCGAACAAUUGAUAGAACCGUGCAAAGUCGGGAUGUUAUCUAAGGCAAUGAUUAUAUCUAUAGCAUCACGUCCAAAACAAGCAGACCGAUACUUUCUGCAUCUACUACUAUUACUCCACACGUUGACUGCUUUCCAGCAUGCAUCUAGUGUAUUAUGUUCAUAAGAACAGAGUAACGCCUUAAGCAAGAUGACAUGAUGUAGAUGGACAAUCUCAUAUGUAUGAUAAAUGCCCAUCUUGUUACCCUUGAUGGAAACAACACGAUGCGUGCCUUGCUGCCCCUUCUGUCACUGGUAAAGGUCACCACACGGUAUGAACCCAAAACCAAGCACUUCUCCCAUUGCAAGAAUCAUAGAUCUAGUUGGCCAAACAAAACCCAAGACUCGGAGAGAAUUACAAGGAUAUCAAAUCAUGCAUAUAAUAAAUCAGCAAAGACCCAAACAUAAUUCAAAGAUAAUCUGAUCACAAAUCCACAAUUCAUCGGAAUUCGACAAACACACCGCCAAAGAAGAUUACAUCAGAUAGAUCUCCAUGAAGAUCAUGGAGAACUUUGUAUUGAAGAUCCAAGAGAGAGAAGAAGCCAUCCAGCUACUAACUACGGACCCGUAGGUCUGAAGUAGACUACUCACGAGUCAUUGGAGAGACGAUGAUGUUGAUGUAGACGCCCUCCAACUCCAAAGUCCCCUCCGGCAGGGCACCGAGAAGGGUCUCCAGAUGAGAUCUUGCAGAAACGGAAGCUUGCGGCGGCGGAAAAGUGUUUUCAUGGAUGCCCUGAUUUUUUCUGGAAUUUUAGGGAAUUUAUAGGCCAAAGAGCUAGGGCAGGGGAGCGCCAGGGAGGCCACAAGCCUGGUAGCCGCCGCCCCCUGGUGGCGGCUACAGGGCUUGUGGGCCCCUUGUGGCUCUUCUGCCUUGGCCCUCAAGUCCCCCGAUCUUCUUCUGUUCCGGAAAAAUUUAUUUUGGGGAUUUUAUUCCAUUUGGACUCCGUUCCAAAAUCAGAUCUGAAAAGAGUCAAAAAUACAGAAAAAACAGGAAUUGGCACUUGGCACUGAAUUAUUAAGUUAGUCCCAAAAAAGAUAUACAAGGUACAUAAAACAUCCAAAGUUGACAAGAUAACAACAUGAAACCAUUAAAAAUUAUAGAUACGUUUGAGACAUAUCAAGCAUCCCCAAGCUUAACUCCUUCUCGUGCUCGAGUAGGGAAGUGAUAAAGAAUGAAUUUUUGAUGCUUUAUGCUACCUAGCAUAGAUGUCCUUUGUAACUCCUCUUAUGUGACGUGAAUGUUCAGAUCCAUUAGAUUCAAAACAAUAGUUUGCUAUUGAUGUGGAGACAAUAAUAAUUCAAGCAAACUAGCAAGGUAAUCAUGAACUUUCAAAAUAACAAGGCCAAAAUAAAGUUAUCCCUACAAAAUCAUAUAGUCUGGCUAUGCUCUAUCAUCCUUGCACAACGAAUUUAAAUCAUGCACAACCCCGAUAUUGGCCAAGUAAUUUUUUCACACUUGUACUUUCUCAAACCUUUUCAACUCUCACGCAAUACAUGAGCGUGAGCCAUGGUUUUAGCACUAUAAGUGGAAUGGAGUGUGGUGGAGGUUGCAAGACAAACAAGGAUAAGAUGUUCACAUUAACUAGGCAUAUCAAUGAGCUGUGGAGAUGCUCAUCAAUAGAUAUCAAUGUGAAUGAGCAGGGAUUGCCAUACAAAUGAUGCACUAGAGCUAAGAGUAUGUGAAAGCUCUUAAAGAAAACUAGUGGGUGUGCAUCCAACUUGCUUGCUCACGAAGACCUAAGGCAAAUUUGAGGAAGCCUAUCAUUGGAAUAUACAAGCCAAGUUAUAUAAUGAAAAUUUCCCACUAGCUAUAUGGUGGUGAAAAAACGAGAGACUCUCGAUCAUGAAAAUCAUGGUGCUUAAUGAGCACAAGUGUGGAAGGAUAGUAGCAAUGUCCGUUCUCUCUUUUUCUCUCUUUUUUUGGUGGGCUCUUUGGCCUCUUUUUUUUUGUUGGGCAUCUUUGGCCUCUUUUUGUAAAUGGGCUUCGAUGGCCUCUUUUAUUUACUCACAUGGGAGAAUGCUCCAUCAAUGAUGAUCAUCACACUUACAACUCAAAACUUAGAGCAAUGAUGACUCUAUAUGGAAUGCCUUCGGUAGUGUACCGUGAUAGUGAUCUAGCAUGGCAUAGACAUCAAUGGAAACAUCAUGCUAGCUAUCUUACAAUCAUGCAAUGGCAAUUUAGAAGUGGUGGCACAUGUCAUGGUGGUAGUUGCAUGGCAAUAUAUCUAGGAAUGACUUUAAAAAAAGCCAUAGUAGGUAGGUAUGGUGGCUGUUUUGAGGGAGGCUAAUGGUGGGUUUUGUGCACCGGCGAAAGUUGCGCGGCACUAAGAAGAUAGUGAUGGUGGAAGGUGAAAGUGCAUCUAAACCAUGGACUCAAUAUUAGUCAUGAAGAACUCAUAUACUUGUUGCAAAAGUUUUAGUAGUAAUCGAAACAAAGCAUUCAACGCAUACUCCUAGGGGAAGGGUUGGUAGGUAUAAACCAUCGCACGAUCCCGACCGCCACACAAAGGAUGACAAUCAAUAGACUAAUCAUGCUCAGACUUCAUCACAUUGAGGUUCACCAUACGUGCAUGCUACGGGAAUCACUAACUUCAACACAAGUAUUUCUAGAUCCAGAACACCAUACUAACAUAACUUCAAUAUUACCACAACCACAACUCAAAACUAAUUGAGAUGAAUCAAACUUCUCUAACUACUCAAUGCACAUGAAGGUGGAAGUUUUCAUAUCCCUUUGGAUAACUACCCCUUUUGGGACUACUUUCAUAGCAUAGGUCAACUACCAAGACACGCGCUUCCAUGCUCUAAAAGAUAUAAGUGAAGCACAUAGAGCAAAAUCAACUAGCUCAAAAGAUAUAAGUGAAGCACAUGUGAGCUGAAUUGUCUAAGCAAAGGAUAUAAGUGAAGCUCGAGAAAAUCACGGUGAGUGCAUGUCUCUCUCUCUCUAGGUGUGCAGCAAGGAAGAUUGUGACACAACAAAAAUAAAAGACUCCUACGAUACAAGACGCUCCAAGCAAAACACAUAACAUGUGGUGAAUAAAAAUAUCGCCCCAAGUAACGUUACCGAUGGAUUGAAGACGAAAGAGGGGAUGCCUUCCCGGGGCAUCCCCAAACUUAGGAUUUUACGGUAUCCUUGAAUAAACUUGGGGUGCCUUGGGCAUCCCCAAGCUUGAGCUCUUGCCACUCUUUAUCUCUUUGUCCAUAAGAACUUGACCCAAAACUUGAAAACUUCACAACACGAAACUUAAACAAAAACUCGUGAUAUCAUUAGUAUAAUAAAGCAAACCACCACUUCCUUAGGUACUAUAGCAAACUUAAAUUCUACUUAUGUUGAUGUUGGGUUACUGUAUUUUCAAUCUUCCAUGGCUAAUACCCCCCGAUACUAUCCAUAGUUUCAUCAAAAUAAGCUACCAACUCAACAAAAACAGAAUCUGUUAACAGCAGACCAGUCUGUAGCAAUAUGUAUACUUCGUAUACUUCUAUUAUUUCCAAAGUUCUAAAAAAUUACGACAGUCUGAAGAAUUUGCGUAGCAAUCAGCUGCAAAAAGAAUCAACUCAAAAUCUCUUACAGAACAAAAAUGAAAAUUCUUUUCGUGAGCAGAAAGUUUCUGUCUUUUCCAGCAUGACCAAACGAUCAUCCCCAAGACUAAUCAUAACGGUUUUACUUGGCACAAAUGCAAAAGAAACACAAAAAACACAAUCAUAACAGAAUUAUGGAAGUGUGGAAAACACAAAACGGAAAGAAAAAUGAUAGAUUCGUUGGGUUGCCUCCCAACAAGCGCUAUUGUUUAACGCCCUUAGCUAGGCAUUGAUAAUUCAAUGAUGCUCAGACAAAAGACAAGAAUUGAAGCACAACGAGAGCAUCAUAAAGCAUGUGAAAAUCACAUCUAAGUAUAACAUACUUCCUAUGCAUAGGCAUUUUAUAGGAAAACAGAUUGUCAAGACAACCAAUAGUUACCAUAUGCAAGGAAGAAGAAAGAGACAAGAGCAAUCUCAACAUAACGAGAGGUGAUUUAGUGAUAUGAAAGUUUCUACCACCAUAUUUUCCUAUCUCAUAAUAAUUACAUGGGGGAUCAUAUUCGAAUUCAACAAUGUAACUAUCACAUAGGAUAUUCUUUUCAUGAUCCACAUGCAUGCGAAGUCGACGCUCUUCAAAAAUAGUGGGAUUAUCAUCAACUAAAGUGAUGACUUCUCCAAACCCACUUUCAAUAAUAUUGCAAAUAUCAUAUUCAUCAUGAGGCUUAAACAAUUUUUCAAGAUCAUAAGAAAAAUCAUUGCCCCACUCAUGAUCAUUGCAACAAGUAAUGGACAUAGCAAAACUAGCAUCUCAAAGCUUAGGGUUUUGCACACUUUUAGCAUGAUUGACACUAAUAGAAUUUAUAGUGAAACCAUUGCAAUCAUGCUUUUCAUCCAAGGAGCCCUCAUGAAUCACUUCAUAAAUUUCUUCCUCACAAUUUUCAGAUUCACGCAUCUCAAGCAAAACUCCAUAAAGAUAGUCAAGUGCACUCAAGUCACUAGCAAUUGGAUCAACAUAAUUGGAUCUCUUAUAGAGAUUAGCAAGUGGAUGAGGAUCCAUAUCACUAGAUUUUCAGCAAGCGAAGAUGAAAGCAUAUUGAAGGCACAUGGAAGACAAGCGAACAGAAAGCAAGCGAGAAAAAGGGCGAACGAAAAGGAAAACGAAAAAGGCAAAUGUGAAGUGGGGGAGAGGAAAACGAGAGGCAACUGGCAAAAAAGGCAAAUGCAAGAUAUGAGUUUGUGACACAUACUUGGAUAGAUCUUGACUUGAUCUCUUCUUCCCCGGCAACGGCGCCAGAAAUACUUCUGCUACUACAACAAAAGAACUUCCAACGGCGCCAAAAAUAGGCGUGUUCAUGAGAGACUAUUCUUGUCUUGAUACUCCUCGGCAACGGCGCCAGGAAUCCUUCUGCUACGGCUACGCCUUUAGGGACUUCCUUGGCAAAUAUGCAAAGGAUUCCUCUGUGGCCUUGGAGCCUUGCGUUGGUGUUCCCUCGAAGCGGAACGGGUGAUGUAGCACAGCGGUGGUAAGUAUUUCCCUCAGUUUUGAGAACCAAGGUAUCGAUCCAGUGGGAGGAUCGCGUCAAGUCACAAGUACCUGCAUAAACACAAAGAGCAUGCACCCAAUGCUAUGAAGGGGUUGUCAAUCCCUUAUAGAUUGUUUGCAAAGUGAGAACUGAAAGCAAAAAGUAAACAAAGCAAAGUAAAAGUGAAAGUGGAGAUGAUAGUUGUGAAUAGACCCGGGGGCCGUAGUGUUCACUAGUGGCUUCUCUCAUGAAAGCAAGUGGACGGUGGGUGAACGAAUUACUGUCGAGCAAUUGAUAGAACCGCGCAAAGUCGUGACGUUAUCUAAGGCAAUGACUAUAUCUAUAGGCAUCACGUCCAAAACAAGUAGAUCGAUACUUUCUGCAUCUACUACUAUUACCCCACACGUCGACCGCUAUCCAGCAUGCAUCUAGUGUAUUAAGUUCAUAAGAACAGAGUAACGCCUUAAGCAAGAUGACAUGAUGUAGAUGGACAAUCUCAUAUCUAUGAUAAAAGCCCAUCUUUUUACCCUUGAUGGAAACAAAACGAUGCGUGCCUUGCUGCCCCUUCUGUCACUGGGAAAGGUCACCACACGGUAUGAACCCAAAACCAAGCACUUCUCCCAUUGCAAGAAACAUAGAUCUAGUUGGCCAAACAAAACCCAAGACUCGGAGAGACUUACAAGGAUAUCAAAUCAUGCAUAUAAGAAAUCAGCAAAGACUCAAAUAUAAUUCAUAGAUAAUCUGAUCACAAAUCCACACUUCAUCGGAUCUCGACAAACACACCGCCAAAGAAGAUUACACCGGAUAGAUCUCCAUGAAGAUCAUGGAGAACUUUGUAUUGAAGAUCGAAGAGAGAGAAGAAGCCAUCUAGCUACUAACUACGGACCCAUAGGUCUGAAGUGGACUACUCACUAGUCAUUGGAGAGGCGAUGAUGUUGAUGUAGAAGCCCUCCAACUCCAAAGUCCCCUCCGGUAGGGCACCAGGAAGGGUCUCCAGAUAUAUCUCGCAGAAACGGAAGCUUGCGGCGGCGGAAAAGUGUUUUCGUGGAUGCCCUGAUUUUUUCUGGGAUUUUAGGGAAUUUAUAGGCCAAAGAACUAGGGCAGGGGAGCGCCAGGGAGGCCACAUGCCUGGUAGCCGCCGCCCCCUGGUGCCGGCUAUAGGGCUUGUGGGACCCCUAUGGCUCUUCUGCCUUGGCCCUCAAGUCCCCCGAUCUUCUUCAGUUCUGGAAAAAUUUAUUUCGGGGAUUUUAUUCUGUUUGGACUCCGUUCCAAAAUCAGAUCUGAAAAGAGUAAAAAAUACAGAAAAAACAGGAACUGGCACUUGGCACUGAAUUAAUAAGUUAGUCCCAAAAGAGAUAUAAAAGGAACAUAAAACAUCCAAAGUUGACAAGAUAACAUCAUGAAACUAUCAAAAAUUGUACAUACGUUUGAGACGUAUCAUUGCAUCAUAUACAACUCUUCCUUAAGAUUCCCGUUAAGGAACGCUGUUUUGACGUCCAUUUGCCAAAUUUCAUAAUCAUGAAAAGCGGCAAUUGCUAACAUGAUUCGGACUGACUUCAGCUUCGCUACGGGAGAGAAAGUCUCUUCGUAGUCAACUCCUUGAAUUUGUCGAAAACCCUUUGCGACAAGUCGAGCUUUAUAAACGGUCACAUUACCGUUUGCAUCAGUCUUCUUCUUGAAGAUCCAUUUAUUUUCUAUGGCUCGCCGAUCAUCGGGCAAGUCCACCAAAGUCCAUACUUUGUUCUCAUACAUGGAUCCUAUCUCGGAUUUCAUAGCCUCAAGCCAUUUGUUGGAAUCCGGGACCACCAUUGCUUCUUCAUAGUUCGAAGGUCACCGUUGUCUAACAACAUGAUUUCCAUCAAAGGGUUUCCGUACCACUCCGGUGCGGAGCGUACCCUUGUGGACCUUCGCGGUUCAGUGGCAACUUGAUCAGAAGCUUCAUGAUCAUCAUCAUUAACUUCCUCUUCAGUUGGGGUAGGCGCCACAAGAACAAUUUCCCGCGCUGCGCUACUCUCCGGUUCGAGAGGGGGUGUAAUUACCUCAUCAAGUUCUACUUUUCUCCCACUUACUUCUUUUGAGAGAAACUCUUUCUCUAGAAAGGAUCCAUUCUUGGCAACAAAGGUUUUACCUUCGGAUCUGAGAUAGAAGGUAUACCCAAUAGUUUCCUUAGGGUAUCCUAUGAAUACGCAUUUCUCUUCUUUGGGUUCGAGCUUCUCUGGUUGAAGUUUCUUCAUAUAAGCAUCGCAGCCCCAAACUUUAUGAAACGAUAGCUUAGGUUUCUUGCCAAACCAUAGUUCAUACGGUGUCGUCUCAACGGAUUUAGACGGUGCCCUAUUUAAAGUGAAUGCUGCAGUUUCUAAUGCGUAUCCCCAAAAUGAUAGUGGUAAGUCGAUAAGAGACAUCAUAGAUCGUACCAUAUCUAAUAAGGUGUGAUUAAAACGUUCAGACACUCCGUUGCGUUGCGGUGUGCUAGGCGGCGUCAGUUGUGAAACAAUUCCACACUUCCUUAGGUGUUUGCCAAACUCGUGACUCAAAUAUUCUCCUCCACGUUUAGAUCGUAGACACUUAAUUUUUCUGUCAUGUUGAUUCUCAACCUCACUCUAAAAUUCUUUGAACUUUUAAAACGUCUCAGAUUUGUCCUUCAUCAAGUAGGUAUACCCAUACCUACUCAAAUUAUCGGUGAGAGUGAGAACAUAACGGUAGCCACCGUGAGCUUCAACGUUCAUUGAACCACACACAUCAGUAUGUAUUAUUUCCAAUAAGUCGGUCGCUCUCUCCAUUAUUCCUGAGAAUGGAGUCUUAGUCAUCUUGCCCAUGAGGCACGGUUCACAUGUGUCAAAUGAUUCAAAGUCAAGAGACUCCAAUAGUCCAUCAGUAUGGAGCUUCUUCAUGCGCUUAACACCGAUAUGACCAAGGCGGCAGUGCCACAAGUAUGUGGGACUAUCAUUAUCAACUUUACAUCUUUUGGUACUCACACUAUGAAUAUGUGUAACAUCACGAUCGAGAUUCAUCAAGAAUAAACCAUUCACCAGCGGAGCAUGACCAUAAAACAUAUCACUCAUAUAAAUAGAACAACCAUUAUUCUCUGACUUAAAUGAGUAGCCGUCUCGCAUUAAGAAAGACCCUGAUACAAUAUUCAUGCUCAAAGCUGGUACUAAAUAACAAUUAUUAAGGAUUAAAACUAAUCUCGACGGUAGAUGUAGAGGCGGCGUGCCGACGGCGAUCACAUCGACCUUGGAGCCAUUCCCGACGCGCAUCGUCACCUCGUCCUUGGCCAGUCUCCGCUUAUUCCGUAGUUCCUGCUUUGAGUUGCAAAUGUGAGCAACAGCACCGGUAUCAAAUACCCAGGAGCUACUACGAGUAUUGGUAAGGUACACAUCACUAACAUGUAUAUCACAUAUACCUUUAACGUUGCCGGCCUUCUUGUCCACUAAGUACUUGGGGGCAGUUCCGCUUCCAGUGACCUUUUCCCUUGCAAUAGAAGCACUCAGUCUCAGGCUUGGGUCCAUUCUUUUUCUUCCUCCCGGCAUCUUGCUUACCGGGUGCGGCAACGGCUUUGCCGUCUUUCUUGAAGUUCUUCUUACCCUUGCCUUUCUUGAAACUGGUGGUCUUAUUGACCAUCAACACUUGAUGCUCUUUCUUGAUUUCUACUUUCGUAGACUUGAGCAUCGAGUACAACUCGGGAAUGGUCUUUUCCAUCCCUUGCAUGUUGUAGUUCAACACAAAACCUUUGUAACUUGGUGGGAGAGACUGGAGGAUUCCGUCAAUUAUAGCGUCAUCCGGAAGUUUGACUCCAAGUGAACUCAGACGACCGUGUAACCCAGACAUUUUGAGUAUGUGCUCACUGACAGAACUGUUCUCCUCCAUCUUAUAGCUAAAGAACUUGUCGGAGACUUCAUAUCUCUCGACACGGGCAUGAGCUUGAAAAACUAGUUUCAGCUCUUGGAACAUCUCAUAUGCACCGUGUUGCUCAAAAGGCCUUUGGAGCCCCGUUUCCAAACUGUAUAACAUGCCACACCUAACUAGAGAGUAGUCAUCACUCCGCGUUUGCCAGACGUUCAGAAUGUCCUGGGCUGCUGCAGGAGCAGGAGGGUCACCUAGCGGCGCAUCAAGGACAUAAGCCUUUUUAGCUGCUUCAAGGAUGAGCUUCAAGUUGCGGACCCAGUCCGCAUAGUUGCUACCAUCAUCUUUCAGCUUUUUUUUCUCUAGGAAUGCGUUGAAAUUGAGGUUGACGUUGGCCAUCUACAAUAUUUAUAAAGACAACUUUUAGACUAAGUUCAUGACAAUUCAGUUCAUUUAAUCAAAUUAAGUAUGAACUCCCACUUAAAUCGACAUCCGUCUAGUCAUCUAAGUGAUACAUGAUCCAUGUUGACUAACCCGUGUCCGAUCAUCACGUGAGACGGAGUAGUCGUCUUGGUGAGCAACUUCAUGCUGAUCGUAUUCAACCAUACGACUCAUGUUCGACCUUUCGGUCUGUUGUAUUCGAGGUCAUGUCUGUACAUGCUAAGCUCAUCGAGUCAACCUAAGUGUUUCGCGUGUGUAAAUCUGGCUUACACCCGUUGUAUGCGAAUGUUAGAAUCCAAUACACCCGAUCAUCACGUGGUGCUUCGAGACAACGAUCCUUCGCAAUGGUGCACACUUAGGGGAAUACGUUCUCGAAAUUUUUAAGAGGGAUCAUCUUAUUAUGCUACCGUCGUUCUAAGCAAUAAGAUGAAAAACAUGAUAAACAUCACAUGCAAUCAUAUAGUGACAUGAUAUGGCCAUUAUCAUCUUUUCUCUUUCGAUCUCCAUCUUCAGGCAUCGCAUGAUCAUCAUUGUCAUCGGCGUGACACCAUGAUCUCCAUCAUCGUGUCUCCGUGAAGUCGUCAUGCCAACUACUACUACCACUACUACUGUAGCUAACCGUUAGCAAUGAAGCAAAAGUAGUAAACACAUGGCAUUGCAUCUCAUACAAUAAAUUAAGACAACUCCUAUGGCUCCUGCCGGUUGUCAUAGUCAUCGACAUGCAAGUCGUGAAUCCUAUUACAAUAACAUGAUCAUCUCAUACAUCACACAUGCAACAUCAGAACUUGGGCCAUAUCACAUCACAUGUCAAACCCUGCAAAAACAAGUUAGACGUCCUCUAAUUGUUGUUGCAAGUUUUACGUGGCUGAUUUAGGUUUCUAGCAAGAACGCCUUCUUACCUACGUGACAGCCACAACGAUGAUAUGCCAAAGCUAUUUACCCUUCAUAAGGACCCUUUUCAUCAAAUCCAAUCUGACUAGAGUGGGACAGACAGACACCCGCUAGCCACCUUUAUGCACGGUGUGCAUGUCUGUCGGUGGAACCUGUCUCACGUAAGCGUACGUGUAAGGUCGGUCCGGGCCGCUUCAUCCCACAGUACCGCCGGAAAAGAAUAAGACUAGUAGCGGCAAGCAAUUGACAAAUCAUCGCCCACAACCUUUUGUGUUCUACUCGUGCAUGGAAUCUACGCAUAGGAAACCUGGCUCUGAUACCACUGUUGGCGAACGUAGCAUAAAUUCAAAAUUUUCCUACGUCAUAUUCAGAUCUUCCUAUGGAAAGACCAGCAACGAGAGAGGGGUGAGUGCAUCUUCAUACCUUUGAAGAUCGCUAAGCGAAAGCGUUGCUAGAACACGGUUGAUGGAGUCGUACUCGGGGCGAUUCAGAUCGUGGUGUGAUUCCGAUCUAGUGCCGAACCACGGCACCUCCGCGUUCAACACACGUGCAGCCCGGUGACGUCUCCCGCACCUUGAUCUAGCAAGGAGGAGGGGGAGAGGUUGGGGAAGAUCUCUGGCAGCACGACGGCGUGGUGUCGAUGGAGAGACAAGGUCUCCCGGCAGGGCUUCGCCAAGCACCGUGGGAGAGGAGGAAGGAGGGGAGGAGGGCUACGCCGAGAGAGAGGGGAAACUGUGUGCAAAGCAGCCCCAAAAUCCUCUCUAUAUAUAGGAGGAGGGGAGGGGGUGUGCCACCCCUAGGGUUCCCACCCAAGGUGGUGCGGCAGCCCCCCUAGAUGGGAGGUGCGGCGGCCAGGGAAAGGGGGUGGCGCACCCCUAGGUGGGCCUUAGGCCCACCAGCGCCUAGGGUUUGCCCCCUCUCCACCUCCUGCGCCUUGGGCCUCUAUGUGGAGGCGCACCAGCCUACUUUGGGCUGGUUGCCCUCCACCUUUUGGCCCACGCUACCUCUUGGGGCUGGUGGUCCAUCCUGGUGGACCCCCGGAACCAUUUCCGAUGGUCCCGGUACGCUACUGGUGACGCCCGAAACAUUUCCGGUGUCCAGACCGAUCCAUCCUAUAUAUCAAUCUUUACAUCCCGACCAUUACGCAUCUCCUCGUGAUGUCCGGGAUCUCAUCUGGGACUCCGAACAUCCUUCGGUAACCUCGUAUAACAAUUGCCUAUAACCAUAGUGUCAUCAAACCUUAAGUGUGUAGAUCCUACGGGUUCGGGAAGCAUGCAGACAUGACCGAGACACUCUCUGGCCAAUAACCAUCAGCGGGAUCUGGAUACCCAUGGUGGCUCCCACAUGUUCCACGAUGAUCUCAACGGAUGAACCACGAUGUCAAGGAUUCAAUCAAUCCCGUAUACAAUUCCCUUUGUCUGUCGGUAUAGAACUUGCCCGAGAUUCGAUCGUCGGUAUGCCUAUACCUUGUUCAAUCUCAUUACCGGUAAGUAUCUUUACUCGUUCCGUAGCACGUCAUCCUGUGACUAACUCCUUAGUCACAUUGAGCUCAUGAUGAUGUUCUACCGAGUGGGCCCAGAGAUACCUCUCCGUCACACGGAGUGACAAAUCCCGAUCUCGAUUCGUGCCAACCCAACAGACACUUUCGGAGGUACCCGUAGUGCACCUUUAUAGUCACCCAGUUACGUUGUGACGUUUGAUACACCCAAAGCACUCCUACGGUAUCCAGGAGUUGCACAAUCUCACGGUCGAUGGAAAAGACACUUGACAUUAGAAAAGCUUUAGCAUACAAACAAUACGAUCUAGUGUUAUGCUUAGGAUUGGGUCUUGUCCAUCACCUCAUUCUCCCAAUGAUGUGAUCCCGUUAUCAAUGACAUCUAAUGCCCAUGAUCAGGAAACCAUGAUCAUCUAUUGAUUAACGAGCUAGCCAACUAGAGGCUUGCUAGGGACACAUUGUGAUCUAUUUAUUCACACAUGUAUUACUGUUUCCUGUUAAUACAAUUAUAGCAUGAACAAUAGACGAUUAUUGUGAACAAGGAAAUAUGAUAAUAACCAUUUUAUUAUUGCCUCUAGGGCAUAUUUCCAACAAAAGUUACUCUACAGGUAUCUCCGAAGGUGUCCGUUGAGUUACCAUGGAUCAAGACUGGGAUUUGUCACUUCGUAUGAUGGAGAGAUAUCUCGGGGUCCACUCGGUAAUACAACAUCACAACAGACCUUGCAAGCAAUGUGACUAAGGUGUUAGUUAUGAGAUCUUGUAUUACGGAACGAGUAAAGAGACUUGCCGGUAACGAGAUUGAACUAGGUAUAGAGAUACCGAUGAUCGAAUCUAGGGCAAUUAACAUACUGAAGGACAAAGGGAACAACAUACCAGAUUAACUAAAUCCUCGAUAUAGAGGUUCAACUGAUAAAGAUCUUCAUAUAAUAUGUAGGAGCCAAUAUGGGCAUCCAGGUCCCGCUAUUGGUUAUUGACCGGAGAGUGUCUCGGUCAUGUCUACAUAGUUCUCAAAUUCGCAGGGUGUGUACACUUAAGGUUCAGUGACGUUUCAGUAUUAUUGAGUUAUGUAUGUUGGUGACCGAAAGUUGUUCAAAGUCCUGGAUGAAACCCCGGACAUCACGAGGAGCUCCGGAAUGGUCUGGAGGUAAAUAUUGAUAUAUAUGGUAGUUGUAUUUGGCAUCCAGAAAGAUUUUGGGCAUUAACGGUAAAGUAUCGGGAGUGACGAAUGGGUUUCGGGGUUUCACUAGGAGGGGCCUCCCACCCAGAAGGGGGCCUAAUAGGCCUAAAGGUGGUGCACCAGCCCCUAGUGGGCUGGGCAGCCAGCCCAAUAAGGCUUAUUUCGGCCAAGUACAAGGAGGGAAAUGGAAUCCCACUUAGGAAUGGGAAUCCCACUAGGAAGGGGAGUCCUCCUCCACCAAACAGAAUUGGAGGAGGACUCCUCCCCUUGGGUUCGGCUGAACCUCUCCUCCUUGGAGGAGAGGGAAAGGAAGCCCAUGUCCCUCUUCCUCCUAUAUAUAUUGGAGGUUUUGAGGGCAACACACACCUGAAAAGCCACGUGUUGCCCUCUCCUCCAUAGACCGUCUCCUUCGUCUAGAUUAGUCCGGCAUAGCUUGGCGAAGCCCUGGUGGAUUAGUUCACAACCAUCACCACCACGCCGAAGUGCUGAAUAAAUCAUCUACCUCUUUGCCCCUCUUGCUGUAUCAAGAAGGUAGAGAUCUACAUCGAGUUGUACGUGUGCUGAAUGCGGAGGCACCGCCAGUGAUGGGAUCGCGGGACGGAUCGAUGAGAUCGCGAGACGAACUGCAAUUUGGAUCGUGAAGAUGUUCCACUACAUCAACCAUGUUAUAUAUGCUUCCGCUUAAGAUCUACAAGGGUAUGUGGAUCCGAUAUCUCCUCUCAUAGAUGGUCACCACCAUGGAUAUAUGUUAUGUGUGUGUGAUGUCUGCUAGAACUAUGUCGGUAUUUCCCCAAAGAGGAAGGGAUGAUGCAAUAUAGCAACGGUAGGUAUUUCCCUCAGUGAUGAGACUAAGGUUAUCGAACCAGUAGGAGAACCUCCUAACACCACAUAAACAACACCUGCACAUAAAUAAGAAAUACUCGCAACACGACGUGUUAAAGGGGUUGUCAAUCCCUUUCGGGUACGACGCCUCAAGAUAGGUAAAUAACGUGAGAUAAAAGUGGUAAAUAGAUCGCGGAACAAAUAAAUUGCAGCAAGGUAUUUUUGUAUUUUUGUUUAAUAGAUCUGAAAAUAAAAGCAAAGCAAAAUAGAUCGGAAAGGCAAAUAUGAUGAAAAGAGACCCGGGGGCCGUAGGUUUCACUAGUGGCUUCUCUCGAGAAAAAUAGCAAACGAUGGGAAAACAAUUACUGUUGGGCAAUUGAUAGACCUUCAAAUAAUCAUGACGAUAUCCAGGUAAUGAUCAUUAUAUAGGAAUCACGUCCAAGAUUAGUAGACCGACUCCUGCCUGCAUCUACUACUAUUACUCCACACAUCGACCGCUAUCCAGGAUGCAUCUAGUGUAUUAAGUUCAUGGAAAAACAGAGUAAUGCAAUAAGAACGAUGACAUGAUGUAGACAAGAUCUAUUUAUGUAGAAAUACACCCCAUCUUGUUAUCCUUAAUAGCAAUGAUACAUAUGUGUCGUUUCCUUUCUGUCACGGGGAUCAAGCACCGUAAGAUCAAACCCAUCAGAAAGCACCUCUUCCCAUUGCAAUAUAAAUAGAUCAAGUUGGACAAACAAAACCCAAAUAUCGGAGAAGAAAUACGAGGCUAUAAUUAAUCACGCAUAUAAGAGAUCAAAGAAGACUCAAAUAACUUUCAUGGAUAAAAACAUAGAUCUGAUCAUAAGCUCAAAGUUCAUCGGAUCCCAACAAACACACCGCAAAAAGACUUACACCAUAUGGAUCUCCAAGAGACCAUUGUAUUGAUAAUCAAGAGAGAGAGAGAGGAAGCCAUCUAGCUACUAACUACGGACCCGUAGGUCUACAAAUAUCUACUCACGCAUCAUCGGAGAGGCACCAAUGGACAUGAUGAACCCCUCCGAGAUGGUUCCUAGAUUGGAUCUGGUGUUUCUGGACUCUGUGGUGGCUGGAAUUGAUUUUUGUCGACUCCCCUAGGGUUUAUGGAAUAUUGGGGGUAUUUAUAGAGCAAAGAGGUGGUGCAGGAGUCCAACGAGGAGGGCGCAACCCACCGGGGCGCGCCUGGGGCACUAGGUGCGUCCUGGUGGGUUGUGCUCCCCUCGGAGCUCCCCUCAGGUGCGUUCCUGGCCCACUAGAUGUCUUCUGGUCCAAAAAAAUCCACAAAAAGAUUCGCUGCGCUUGGACUCCGUUUGGUAUUGAUUUCCUGCGAUGUAGAAAACAUGCAGAAAACAACAACUGGCACUGGGCACUAUGUCAAUAGGUUAGUACCAAAAAAUGACAUAAAAUGAUUGUAAAACAUCCAAGAAUGAUAUUAUAACAGCAUGGAACAAUAAAAAAUUAUAGAUACGUUGGAGACGUAUCAACAUCCCUAAGCUUAAUUCCUGCUCGUCCUCGAGUAGGUAAAUGAUAAAAAUAAAAAUUUUGAUGCCGAAUGUUGCCUAACAUGUUCAUCACAUUUCUUUUAUUUAUAGCAUGGACAUUUGGACUUUUAUAUGCUUCAAAGCAAUAGUCUAGUUUUGACAUGAAGACUUUAAUACUCAAGCAUACCAACAAGCAACCAUGUCUUUCAAAAUAUCAACACUAAAGCAAGUUAUCCCUAGCCCAUUAUUCUCAAUCAUUAAUCCAUUCAUGAAACACACUCGAAUAUUAGCUACACCCAGUGCUCAAAUACGAUCAUAGUGCCCCUUAGUUGGUGCUUUAUGAGAGAAGAUGGAGACUCAAAUUCAAAAUAAAAAUUGCAUAAAGUAAAAGAAAGUCCCUUCACGGAGGGAAGUAGGGAUUUGUAGAGGUGCGAGAGCUCAAAGCGAAAAUUGAGAGAUAAAAACAUUUUGGGAGGCAUACUUUUCCCACCAAUGAAAACGACUUAGAGCUCCCAACACUUUCCAUGCUAGAUACAUCAUAGGCGGUUCCCAAACAAAAAAAUAAAGUUUAUUCUUUUUUCCACCAUUACUUUCAUUUUCCAUGGCUUGUCCGUAUCCACGGGUGCCCUCCAUACCAACACUUUCCAAGGAAUUUAUUAUUUGACAACAUAAAGUAAAUUCAUUUUUCAUUUCGGGACUGGGCAUCCCUAAUACCUUUGCCGUACUCUCGUGUAAUGACAAGUGAAUAAACACUCAUCGUGAGAAUAACACAUCUAGCAUGGAAAAUAUUGGCCACCCCUCACCGCCUCGCUAGCGGUAGAGCACACAAAAGAGAAAUUUAUUUUGAAAAUUAGAGAUGGCACAUGCAAAUUUGCUUAGAACGGCAUGGAAAUACCGCAUAUAGGUAGGUAUAGUGGACUCAUAUGGCAUAACUGGUUUAAAGGGUUUUGGAUGCACAAGUAUGAUCAUACUUAGUGCAAAAUGAAGGCUAGCAAAAAGAUUGAGAAGCGACCAACCAAGAAACGAAAAAUCUCGUACCCAAGCAUUAAUCAUAAGUAACACCGAAUAAUGCACCACAAGUAGGAUAUACAUUUCAUUGCAUAACUAUUGACUUUCGUGCUUGCAUAGGGAAUCACAAACCUUAACAUCAAUAUUCUUACUAAAGUACAAUUACUCAUCAACAUGACUCACAUAUCAUAUCAUCAUAUCUCAAAAAAAUUAUUAAGAAUCAAGUUUAUUUUGUCCAAUGAUCUUCAUGAAAGUUUUUAUUAUAUCCUCCUUGGAUAUCUAUCACUUUGGGACUAUUUUCAUAUGUUGCUUUUGAUAAGCUCAAACAAAUAUAAGUGAAGAACAUGACCAUAAUUGUUCUUUCUCUCAAAAUAAUAUAAGUGAAGCAAGAGAGAAUUUAUUAAAAAAAUACUAACUCCCAAAUAAAUCUAAGUGAAUCAUGAGAGCAUUUCUUCAAUAAUAACAAAGCACACCGUGCUAAAAAAGAUAUAAGUGAAGUACUAGAGCAAAUCCAUGGCUCUAAAAAUUUAAGUGAAGCAUAGGAGCAAGCACAUCAUAAUUUUUGGCUCUCUUAAAAAGGUGUGUCCAGCAAGGAUUCAAGACUUAAAACACAAAGAAAAACAAGCAAAGACUCAUAUCAUACAAGACGCUAAAAGAAAAACUCAUAAUAUGUGACGAAUAAAAAUAUAACUUCAAGUAAAAUACCGAUGGUUGUUAGAAGAAAGAGGGGAAGUCACUCGGGGGCAUCCCCAAGCUUAGUUGCUUGAUACUUCUUGAAUAUUAUCUUGGGUGCCUCGGUCAUCCACAAGCUUAGCCUUUUUCUAAUCCUUAUUCCUUCAUCCAUCGUAAUAUCACCCAAAACUUGAAAAUUUCAAUCACACAAAACUCAACAAAACCUUCGUGAGAUUCGUUAGUAUAAGAAAGCAAACCACUACUAUAAGUACUGUUGCAAACCUAUUCAUAUUUUAUUUUUCCAUUAUAUCUACUGUAUUCCAACUUUUAUAUGGCAAAAGAUCAUCAAAGAAAACCAUAGAAUCAUCAAAACAAGCACACAACACAAAGAAAACAUAAUCUGUCAAAAAUAGAACAGUCUUUAGCAAUCUGACUACUUCGAAAACUUGUGUAACUCCAAAAAUUCUGAAAAAUUACUACGAUGUGAAUAAUUUGUUUAUUAAUCUUUUUGAAAAAGAAUCAACUCGAACUCCCUCUUGAGAUAAAAAUGAAUAAUAAUUUCAUGAUAAAAAAGUUUAUGUUUUUCAGCAAGAUCAAAUCAACUUUCACCCAAAUAAUUCCAAAGGCCUUGAUUGGCACAAACACUAAUUUAACCCACAAAAUGUCGGGACCCCGAUCCUAAGCCAUAGGAAUCCAGCCUGUAACACAUCGCAUCUCUUUGUGGUCUCACGCACGGUUAACUCCACGGCUGCAGCCUUACCUUAGCCGGGANNNNNNNNNNNNNNNNNNNNNNNNNNNNNNNNNNNNNNNNNNNNNNNNNNNNNNNNNNNNNNNNNNNNNNNNNNNNNNNNNNNNNNNNNNNNNNNNNNNNAGGAAAUCUCAAACUAGUUCAAAAUCAAUGAACCCAAAAUGGCCUCAAGAAAUGUUCAAACUUUCUGAUAAAUCAUGAAAGUAAAUGAGCAUUGGAGAAAACUAUUUUCUUGACACUUUAAGCAUUUUAAAUAAAUGCAAAAGCCACUGGUUUCAAAUUUAAAAUUUCAAAUCAGAAACUAUAAUUUUCCAAAAAUGUUGAAAAUCAUGGAAAUGAGUGGGGAUAUUAUAACAAAUAUUUCAGGAGGUCUAAAAUAUUUUUUACUUUUUGUUUUGGAGCUGAAUUAAUUAGCAAAACACUAAUUAGCAAAACAUAAAAACAAAAACAGAAAAAAAAAUAGAAAAAUCUUACCUGCCGCCCAAGCAUGGCCCGGCCCAUCUCCCCGCUCGUCCCCUCCCUCGCGCCAGUAGGCAGCAGGAGGUGGCCGCCGCCCCCUCCGGCGCGGCCACGCACCUGCGUGCNNNNNNNNNNNNNNNNNNNNNNNNNNNNNNNNNNNNNNNNNNNNNNNNNNNNNNNNNNNNNNNNNNNNNNNNNNNNNNNNNNNNNNNNNNNNNNNNNNNNNNNNNNNNNNNNNNNNNNNNNNNNNNNNNNNNNNNNNNNNNNNNNNNNNNNNNNNNNNNNNNNNNNNNNNNNNNNNNNNNNNNNNNNNNNNNNNNNNNNNNNNNNNNNNNNNNNNNNNNNNNNNNNNNNNNNNNNNNNNNNNNNNNNNNNNNNNNNNNNNNNNNNNNNNNNNNNNNNNNNNNNNNNNNNNNNNNNNNNNNNNNNNNNNNNNNNNNNNNNNNNNNNNNNNNNNNNNNNNNNNNNNNNNNNNNNNNNNNNNNNNNNNNNNNNNNNNNNNNNNNNNNNNNNNNNNNNNNNNNNNNNNNNNNNNNNNNNNNNNNNNNNNNNNNNNNNNCGCCGCUGCCGCUCGUCGCCGGUAGCCCUCCGAUGUUCAGCUCGUCCUUCCGAGGGCACCAGCAGCUCCAGGACGACGCGUAGAUGCCGUAGCAGCUAAGAACCGAGCGUAGAUCCCCCUGAUUCAAAGACCCCGAUGGCGCCCGAGCUUCGGCCGCCGCUCCGGCUCGUCGCCGACGUCUCUUCCGGCGACCCUAGCCUCCCCAGUUGGUCCUGCCAGAUCGGCCACUUCGCGAGCAUGAUGUAGCUGCCAACCGCGCGCGUUUUGGUGCUGUGCAGCGCCAUCUAGGUCGCCUCCGGCGAGCCCUCCGCCGCGGGUCUGGUCGCCGGCGACCACCNNNNNNNNNNNNNNNNNNNNNNNNNNNNNNNNNNNNNNNNNNNNNNNNNNNNNNNNNNNNNNNNNNNNNNNNNNNNNNNNNNNNNNNNNNNNNNNNNNNNNNNNNNNNNNNNNNNNNNNNNNNNNNNNNNNNNNNNNNNNNNNNNNNNNNNNNNNNNNNNNNNNNNNNNNNNNNNNNNNNNNNNNNNNNNNNNNNNNNNNNNNNNNNNNNNNNNNNNNNNNNNNNNNNNNNNNNNNNNNNNNNNNNNNNNNNNNNNNNNNNNNNNNNNNNNNNNNNNNNNNNNNNNNNNNNNNNNNNNNNNNNNNNNNNNNNNNNNNNNNNNNNNNUCAGGUUUGACCUGAACAGGUCGGCUGACCUGCUGACGUCAGCCUGAGGCAAUAAAUAGAAUUUCCAGUAUAAAACUAAUUCAGGAAAUUGCUAAAAAUUGUAAAAAUCAUAGAAAUUAAUCUGUAACUCCAAUGAAAAUAAUUUAUAUAUGAAAAAGUAUCAGAAAAAUUCAAGGAUUCUGAUUAUGCUAUUUUCAACUAUGUUUGAAAAAGUUACAGAACCCUAAAUUGUGAAAUAAGGAAUAAUUCAAUUCUUUUAAUCACUUUAUAAAUGGAAUUUGCAAAAAUAUUCAAAUUUCAUUAUAUAUGCAAUGAUCACACACUGCCCUAAUUACAAAUCAGUACCAUAACAUGANNNNNNNNNNNNNNNNNNNNNNNNNNNNNNNNNNNNNNNNNNNNNNNNNNNNNNNNNNNNNNNNNNNNNNNNNNNNNNNNNNNNNNNNNNNNNNNNNNNNAGGCUAGGGUCGCCGGGAGAGGCGCCGGCGACGAGCCGAAGCGGAGGCCGAAGCUCGGCCUCCCGCGGUUGAUGGCUCUAGGGCGCGGGGAGGACAGCUAAUGGGCUCAUCACACUCCUGGAGGCUCCAGGAGCUCGAUCCCUAGCUCGAGCGCGUGGAACAGACACCACAGCGACGGCGACGACAUGACCGGAGGCGAGGAGCUCUCGGCCUUGGUGGGGAUCGGGGCUACGGUGCACGGAAGAGCGUGGGGUGAGAGGGGAAAUGAAGAUGAGCUCACGGCGGUUCCGAUGGUGUUGUUGUAGGGCUCGGGGGUGCGCCGGAGGGAGCGAAUCAACGGGAGAGGUCCGGCGGNNNNNNNNNNNNNNNNNNNNNNNNNNNNNNNNNNNNNNNNNNNNNNNNNNNNNNNNNNNNNNNNNNNNNNNNNNNNNNNNNNNNNNNNNNNNNNNNNNNNNNNNNNNNNNNNNNNNNNNNNNNNNNNNNNNNNNNNNNNNNNNNNNNNNNNNNNNNNNNNNNNNNNNNNNNNNNNNNNNNNNNNNNNNNNNNNNNNNNNNNNNNNNNNNNNNNNNNNNNNNNNNNNNNNNNNNNNNNNNNNNNNNNNNNNNNNNNNNNNNNNNNNNNNNNNNNNNNNNNNNNNNNNNNNNNNNNNNNNNNNNNNNNGCCGGAGGUGGAAGACGAUGGCGUUGGGGGCGAUGCAGAGCUCGAGGAGACUUCGGUUUCUGCAGGGAGGACCGGCUCGACGAGGCGGAGCUAACGGCGUGCUCAGCAAGAGGAUGCUAAGGCUAGGGGCACGGGCAGCUCGNNNNNNNNNNNNNNNNNNNNNNNNNNNNNNNNNNNNNNNNNAAGGGGGAGGAGAGAUCCGGGAGGAGGGAGAGAGCUGACGCUGGGAAUGGAUAGAGGAGGCCUCGGGGAGCUUAUCCCCGGCCUUGCCAGCGCGAGGCGCCGGCCAGGGAGGCGCACAGGUGCGUGGNNNNNNNNNNNNNNNNNNNNNNNNNNNNNNNNNNNNNNNNNNNNNNNNNNNNNNNNNNNNNNNNNNNNNNNNNNNNNNNNNNNNNNNNNNNNNNNNNNNNUUUACCAAAUCAAGUUCAACACACAAACUUUGCUCACCGAACACAUUCCACAUUUCUGUUCAUCUCCCAGAUGACAGACCAUACACAACUCUAAGCAUAGCAUGCAUAGCAGGAUAAGGCACAUCAUAGCUCAAGCAACUACCAGGUAUGCUAGGUUGCAAGGUUCGGCUAUUUACUGUGACAAGGUUAGGUCAUGCAAAGGAAGUGGGUUCAACUAUCGUGGCAAAAGCAGUUGAAGCAUUUGAUCCUAAAUGCAAUAAAUAGGUGCAGGAGCAAGAACAUAGGAGUUAUCGGGAUGAUCAAAAGGGUUGCUUGCCUUGUUGCUCAGAGGAGGAACGAUAUCCGUCAGACGGAUAUUCGGUGGAAUCCGGGGGUGCGGAGCCUAUCGAAAAGAAUGGCAACAUUCAAUAACAAUCAUAUGCACUCAAAAUGAUGCAUGAGCAUGGCAUGGGAAUGCAAGUGGUAGGUUAUUAUUUUCAACAUGUAUUAGGUUUAGAGUUGAUUUGAAUCACAUUCGAAUAGCAAUUCAACAGGGUAUUCUCGGAUACCGGUUUAAUUGAUUCGACCUGAUGCUCAGAUCAACUUGAUGUUAACAUGCAUGAAAUGUCAUGUUAUGGUACUGAUUUGUAAUUAGGGCAGUGUGUGAUCAUUGCAUAUAUAAUGAAAUUUGAAUAUUUUUGCAAAUUCCAUUUAUAAAGUGAUUAAAAGAAUUGAAUUAUUCCUUAUUUCACAAUUUAGGGUUCUGUAACUUUUUCAAACAUAGUUGAAAAUAGCAUAAUCAGAAUCCUUGAAUUUUUCUGAUACUUUUUCAUAUAUAAAUUAUUUUCAUUGGAGUUACAGAUUAAUUUCUAUGAUUUUUACAAUUUUUAGCAAUUUCCUGAAUUAGUUUUAUACUGGAAAUUCUAUUUAUUGCCUCAGGCUGACGUCAGCAGGUCAGCCGACCUGUUCAGGUCAAACCUGAUAGGGGGGUCCCACUGGUCAGCCUCUCUGGGACUAAUCCCGUGCUGACCAGCCCCAAAUUGGGGUUUGACCAGGCGUGGGGCCCUCUGUCAGCGACUGAGGGGAGGGCGAUUACGCCCUAAUGGUCGGCCACGUCGACGCCCAUCGGAGGGUGGUCGCCGGCGACCAGACCCGCGGCGGAGGGCUCGCCGGAGGCGACCUAGAUGGCGCUGCACAGCACCAAAAACGCGCGCGGUUGGCAGCUACAUCAUGCUCGCGAAGUGGCCGAUCUGGCAGGACCAACUGGGGAGGCUAGGGUCGCCGGAAGAGACGUCGGCGACGAGCCGGAGCGGCGGCCGAAGCUCGGGCGCCAUCGGGGUCUUUGAAUCAGGGGGAUCUACGCUCGGUUCUUAGCUGCUACGGCAUCUACGCGUCGUCCUGGAGCUGCUGGUGCCCUCGGAAGGACGAGCUGAACAUCGGAGGGCUACCGGCGACGAGCGGCAGCGGCGUUCCUCAUCGGGCUCCGGUGAAACUAGAGCUAGAGGAGGGGAUCGACGGGGGAAACUUAGGGGAAACGACCGCAUGCUCACGGGGAGUGCAGAGCAGAGCUUAGACGGUUCGGGGAAGGCAUGGGGGCGACGAAUCGACGGGAGAGGUCCGGCGGCCGGAGGUGGAAGACGACGGCGUUGCGGGCGUUGCAGGGCUCGAGGAAGCUUUGGCUUCUGCAGAGAUGACCAGGGCGACGAGGCGGAGCUAAUGGCGUGCUCUGGGAGGGAAACCUAUGGCCAGGGGCACGGGCAGCUCGAGCUCGAGCUCGGCUCUAAUGGCGGCAGCAAGGAGGAGGAGGAGAUCCGGGAGGAGGAGGAGAACCGAGGCGGGGAAUGGAUAGGGGAGGCUCUGGGGAGCUUAUCCCCGUCGUCGCCAUCGCGAGGCGGCGGCCAGGCAGGCACGCAGGUGCGUGGCCGCGCCGGAGGGGGCGGCGGCCACCUCCUGCUGCCUACUGGCGCGAGGGAGGGGACGAGCGGGGAGAUGGGCCGGGCCAUGCUUGGGCGGCAGGUAAGAUUUUUCUAUUUUUUUUUCUGUUUUUGUUUUUAUGUUUUGCUAAUUAGUGUUUUGCUAAUUAAUUCAGCUCCAAAACAAAAAGUAAAAAAUAUUUUAGACCUCCUGAAAUAUUUGUUAUAAUAUCCCCACUCAUUUCCAUGAUUUUCAACAUUUUUGGAAAAUUAUAGUUUCUGAUUUGAAAUUUUAAAUUUGAAACCAGUGGCUUUUGCAUUUAUUUAAAAUGCUUAAAGUGUCAAUAAAAUAGUUUUCUCCAAUGCUCAUUUACUUUCAUGAUUUAUCAGAAAGUUUGAACAUUUCUUGAGGCCAUUUUGGGUUCAUUGAUUUUGAACUAGUUUGAGAUUUCCUUUAGUUGAAAUGGUGGCUAGGGUUUUGAGUUUUUCCUUUGCCACUUUGUUGUUUUUGUUGAAACUUCUUAGAUGCAAAUGCAAAGAAGACAUGAGCACAAUGCUAUCUUGCUUAAGGGUUAGGGAUGUGACACAAAAACACAACUAAACAUAGGUAUAAUUGUGUAUUUUAUUGAAAACAAACCAAAAAGAAAAAAUAUACAAGUUGCGUUGCCUCCCAACGAGCGAUAUUGUUUUACGCCCCUAGCUAGGCAUAACGCCUAGGAUCUAAGUGUUGUCAUCUUUGGCUCUAGAUCCAUAAUACGCCCUCAUGAUUGAUUCAUAUGGUGGACCAAUUCUUAUUCUAUGGAAGUGUUCCAUUCCCUUCCUUAGUGGAAAUUGAAAAUUAAUAUUGCCUUCUUUCAUAUCAAUCCUGGCACCAAUAGUACGUAAAAACGGUCUACCAAGUAUAAUCGGACAAGACGGAUUGCUAUCAAUAUCAAGAGCAAUAAAAUCUAUGGGCACAUAAUUACCAUUUGAAAGAAUAAGAACAUGAUUAAUUCUUCCCAUCGGCUUUUUAAUAGUAUAAUCCGCCAAGUGCGAAUCUAAAGAGCAUUCUUCAAUAUUGGUAAGACCAAGCACAUCAGAUAAAGACUUCGGAAUUGUAGAAACACUAGCACCCAAGUCAAAUAAAGCAAAACACUCAUAAUGUUUUAUCUUGACUUCGAUAGUAGGUUCCCACUCAUCAUGCAAUUUUCUUGGAAUUGAAACUUCCAAUUCCAAUUUUUCCUCAAAAGCAUUCAUCAUAGCAUCAACGAUAUGUUCACUAAAAGCUUUAUUUUGUCCAUAAGCAUGCGGUGAAUUUAUCAUGGAUUGCAAAAAAUAAGUACAAUCAACCAAAGAGCAACUAUCAUAAUUAAAGUCUUUGUAAUCCAAAAUAGUGGGCACAUUACUAUUUAAAGUCUUAACCUCUUCAAACCAACUUUUAUCAAUUUUCUUAACAAGAUUUUCGCCCUCUGAAUCAUAGGGACGCCUUCUAACUAAAGUUGACUCUUCUUGAGUCCCUUUUUCAGCAAUCUUAAUUUUACUAAACAAAGAAUGAAUAGAAGAAACACAAAUCAUUUUAAGAUCCUCAUCACUUUUAUGAAAGUAAUCACUAGAAAACGCUCUUUCUAAAAAUUCUCUUUUAGCUCUAAGCAUAUCGGUUCUUUUCUUACUUUCAUUCAUAGAAACAUAAAGAGCUUUAAUUGAUUCUUCAACUUUAGGCACAAAAAUUUUCAUCCUUAGAGUUUUCACACCAUGAGAAAUUCUAUCAAUACUUCUAGACAAAUCAUCAACUUUAUUCAACUUUUGUUCUAUCGAAGUAUUGAAAGCUUUUUGAGUAUUGAUUAAUUAUUUAAUAUUGUUCUCAAGAUCAGAGGUGUUUCUAUUAUUAUUAUAAGUAGGAUUACCAUAAUUAUUAGAGGAAUUACUAGGAAAAGUCCUAGGAUUAAAAUACCUUUAUAAGCCUUGUUAUUGAAAUUUUUUUGCGAGAUAAAAUUCACAUCUAUGGCAUCACUAUUUUGCUCAAUCAAAUUAGACAAAGGCACAUCAUUAAAAUCAAUAUGAGCACUUUUAUUACCAACCAACUUCAUAAGAGCAUCAACUUUUUCACUCAAAGAAUUUAUUUCUUCUACCAAAUUGACUUUUUUACUAGUAGGAGCUCUUCCGGUAUGCCAUUGUGAGUUAUUGGCCAUAAUAUUGUCUAUCAAUUUAGUAGCUUCACCCAAAGUAAUUUCCAUAAAAGUACCCCCUGGGCGGAAUCUAAAAGAUUAAGAGAAACAAAAUUCAACCCCGCAUAAAAAAAUGUAUGAUCAUCCAAAGAUUUAACCCAUGAGUUGGGCAAUUCCUUAGUAUCAAUUUCAUCCUUUCCCAAGAUUGUGCAACAUGCUCAUGUUCAAGUUGCUUGAAAUUCAUGAUCUGGGUUCUAAGGGAAAUAAUUUUUGUGGGCGGAAAAACUUAGUAAUAAAAGCAUCCUUCCAAGAAUCGAUACUAUUGCGAGGCAAAGAAGAAAACCAAAGUUUUGCACGAUCUCACAAAGAAAACGGAAAUACUUUCAACUUCACAACAUCGUUGGCCACAUCUUUUUUAUUUUUCAUAUUGCAUAAUUCCACAAAUGUUUUGACUUUUCUCAAAAAUUAGGGCCAAUUAAUUUUUUUGUGAAUGCUUGUGAAGGUUAGUUGAUGUUUACUUGCUUGCCUAUUGCUUGUGUUUGAACCCAAUGCUGCUGCUACUCUCCAAAAUCAGCUCCUUGACCCAAACCCUUGUCCAAUGAUCAUGCCAUAUGUGUACGACCAAAAACUAUUUUUACCAAAUAUUAUUUUCACCAAAAAGCAUUUCUUUGAUUUAAGCUUUCAAAACCCUUGAGUUGGGAUUUGUACUACAAGUCCUCAAAUUAGGGAAGUUAUAUUGAACCAAUUACUUUAUUUAAAACCCAUUAUCAAAAUUACUUCCAAAAAACCACAAUGCUAUUAUUUUAAAAGUUAUUUUACUAUUUUAUUUAAAUGCCAUCUUGUGAGGCUAGAAAUGGUAUCUUAUGAAGGAAAGUUUUUUUUAUUUCUUUCAAAAUAUUUAAGAAACUUUAGGGAAACUCACUUGACAUACAUAUUCCGUAUAUAUGAGUUUCAACACAUGGUCAUGUUCAAAAUAUUGGGCAAACCCCUUCAAAACCCUUCCUGCCUAUUUCAAGCUUUUGGAAUAUUUCUAUAAGAAAUAUUCUCAAUAAAUUUCUGUAAAAUUCUAGCAUGUCACAUAUGAUAUAUGUGAUGAUCUUGCCAAGUUUCAUCUCAAUCCAAGUUGAUUUGAUUUCCCUAAUUAUUCUAAAGCGCUAUUUGUACAGAUCCAAAUUUGAGCAACUCUACAUAGCCAAGUGUCUCUCCAGUUGUGCUCAAAUUUGGUAGACAUGUUAUGAUACUCUAAUAAUGCAUCCACACCAAGUGGUGCAUCAAGGAGAAUAGAAGAACUUGUCCCAAGCCCCUCAAAACCCUCUCUGUUGAUUUUUGACUUUGGGAGACUUUACAUUAUAAAGUUUCUCCAAUUGACCCAAAACUUAUUGGGCAUGCUUUAAUGCUCAAAUAAUGCCCCAAACCAAAUAUUGGUUUUGUGGGAAUAUAUUUGAAUAGUUUUGUAAGCAGAAGAACAUUUCUGCACAUUUCAUGGGUUUUCCAAGUCUACAUUGGAAACCUUAUCCACCAAAUGCCAAAUGUGGUGUCCAAGCUUACUUUCAUCUAUUAUUUGAUCCUGUUAAGUUUCACAUCAAUUGAAGUCCAUCUGGUAGCCCUGACACUCAUCAAACACCUUGUGUAAACUCACCAAAGGGGCUAAUUUGGCCCCUUCCACUUUUACCCUUGAGCUUAAACUUUUACCACAGCCUCCCCUAGUUACCUUUUUACUCCAGUAGCUUUGCCAUGGCCACUUGUCAAUUACUGGAGAGAGACUCCUGGUAGCUACCCUUCAUUUUCACCAUGGAAGCACCCUUUUUACCUCUCUUCCUAUACUUCUGCUUAAUCCAAAGCCCCACAUUCUUCCAGGGCAUCUCUAAUAUGUCAAUGCAUCAUUUCAAACCAAGAGAUGGCAUGCUCAUGUAGGAAAAAUGAGCAACACAUCUACAAGUUGAUUUCUGGCUGAAUUGUAGCUUUGUAGAACAAGUUUUAGCUACCCUCCUUUGCUUGAGCUCAAACGUGGCAGUGUUGUAGUCCUUCCAUAGCUAACACUGCGAGACAUUGAUUUUCCCCAACACUCUCCAUCUCAGACCCACUUUUAUUAUCCCUGAGUUUGCUGCUGCAAACUCAAACUCAGUGAAAGCCUAGCCUGACCACCUUCAUAUACUUACAAACUCCUCAAUCUCCCUCCUGCAAGUAUGCCUUACAUGUUGGACAUGUUUGACUGGUCAUGAGGACCCUAUAGACAUGAGUGGCCAUGGAUACCACCACCCUCGCCUGCAAUAAGGGUGCUCUGUGAGACCGCAUCCGGUCGUUGCUACGUGUCUCAGAGCACCAGGGCAUCCCCCUUGACUGGUCCAAGCCCUACUCGACACCUAGAAGCCGCCAAGUUGCCCCUAGAACUCGUGCUACCGAGCUCCGAGGUGCUCCCUAUUGGGGAACAUUGCAUGGGAAACAAUUUUUUUCCUACGCACACGAAGACCUAUCAUGGUGAUGUUCAUCUACGACAGUGAGAUUGCAUCCACAUACCCUUCUAGAUCGCUAAACGGGAAGCGUUAAGAAACACGGUUGAUGUAGUGGAACAGCUUCGUGAUUCAAAUCACCAUCGUCCCAUGAUCGGUCCCAAUCUAGCACCGAAUGAACGACACCUCCGCGUUCAACACACGUAUAGCUCGAUGAUGAUCUCCGCCUUCUUGAUCCAGCAAGAGAGACAGGGAAGUAGAUGAGUCCUCCGACAGCGUGACGGCGCGCCGGUGAUGGUGAUGAUCUAUUCCUGCAGGGCUCUGCCCGAGCUCCGCAGAAAUCCGAUCUAGAUGAAGAAGUACGAAGUAGAGGUUUAGGGUUGCACGUGGCAAAGUUGUGUCUCUUAAACCCUAAAACCUCUAGUAUAUAUAGGAGGAGGGGAGGUGCUAGCCUUGAGGAUCAAGGGAGGCUAUUGGGCGUCGACCGAGUGGAGGAGGAGGGACUCCUACUCCAAUUCGGUUUGGAAGGAGGAGUCCCUUCCUUCCUUCCCAACUCCUCCCUUUUUUUCUUUUCUCCUUUGAUUUUUUAUCUUGGCCGAAAUAGUCCUAUUAGGCUGGCCUCACCAGCCCACCAAGGGCUGGUGCGCCACCCAUGGGCCUAUUAGGUUCUCUCCCGGGUGGGUGGCCCCUCCCGGUAAAAACCCGGAACCCAUUCGUCACUCCCGAUACACUGUCGACAAUGCCCGAAAUAUUUUUGGAAGCCAAAUGAAAGAAUCCUAUAUAUCAGUCUUUGUUUCCGGACCAUUCCGGAAACCCUCGUGACGUCCGUGAUCUCAUCCGGGACUCCAAACAAAACUUUGGUCACCAUCACCUAUAACUCAACUAUACCAAAACGUCACCGAACCUUAAGUGUGCAGACCCUGCAGGUUCGAGAACUAUGCAGACAUGACCUGAGACACUCCCUGGUCAAUAUCCAAUAGUGGGACCUGGAUGUCCAUAUUGGAUCCUACAUAUCCUACGAGGAUCUUAUCUUUUGAACCUAUGUGCCAAGGAUUCAUAUAAUCCCGUAUACCAUUUCCUUUGUCCUUCGGUAUGUUACUUGCCCGAGAUUUGAUCAUCGGUAUCCCUAUACCUAUUUCAAUCUCGUUACCGGCAAGUCUCUUUACUCGUUCCGUAAUACAAGAUCCUGUGACUAACACUUUAGUCACAUUGCUUGCAAGGCUUAUAUGUGAUGUUGUAUUACCGAGUGGGCCCCGAGAUACCUCUCCGUGACACGGAGUAACAAAUCCCAGUCUUGAUCCAUACUAACUCAACGGACACCUUAGGAGAUACCUGUAGAGCACCUUUAUAGUCACCCAAUAACCUUGCGACGCUUGAUACACACAAGGUAUUCCUCCGGUGUCAGUGAGUUACAUGAUCUCAUGGUCAUAGGAAUAAACACUUGACAUGCAGAAAACGAUAUCAACAAAAUGACACGAUCACAUGCUACAUUUGUAGUUUGGGUCUUGUCGAUCACAUCAUUCUCCCAAUGACGUGGUCGAGUCAUCAAGUGACAACACUUGUAUAUGGUCAGAAAACCUUAACCAUCCUUGAUCAACUGGCUAGUCAACUAGAGGCUUACUAGGGACAUAGUUUUGUAUAUAUAUCCACACAUGCAUUUAUGUUUUCAUUUAAUACAAUUAUAGCAUGGAUAAUAAACGAUUAUCUUCAAACAUGAAAUAUAAUAAUAACUAUUUUAUUAUUGCCUCUAGGGCAUAUUUCCAACAGUUUGCCACUUGCACUAGAGUCAAUAAUCUAGUUUUACAUCGCUAUGUGAUUUACAUUGGAAUGAAUCUAACACCCAUGCAGUUCUGGUGUUGAUCAUGCUUCGCUCGGAAGAGGUUUAGUCAGCGGAUCUCCAACAUUCAGAUCCGUGUGCACUUUGCAAAUAGUUACGUCCUCUCCUUCGACGUAGUCGCGGAUGAGGUUGAAGCGUCGUUUGAUGUGUCUGGUCUUCUUGUGAAACCUUGGUUCCUUGGCUAGAGCAAUGGCACCAGUGUUGUCACAGAAUAGAGUUAUUGGAUUUAGUGCGCUCGGCACAACUCCAAGAUCCGUCAUGAACUGCUUCCUCCAUACACCCUCCUUAGCUGCCUCCGAGGCAGCCAUGUACUCUGCUUCACAUGUAGAAUCUGCUACAACGCUUUGCUUGGAACUGCACCAGCUUACCGCACCCCCAUUGAGAAUAAAUACAUAUCCGUUUUGAGACUUAGAGUCCUUCGGAUCAGUCUCAAAGCUUGCAUCGACGUAACCCUUUACGACGAGCUCUUCGCCACCUCCAUAAACAAGAACCAUUUCAUUAGUCCUUUUCAGGUACUUCAGAAUAUUCUUGACCGCCGCCCAGUGUUCCACUCCCAGAUCACUUUGAAACCUGCUUGCCAUACUUAUGGCCAGGCUGACGUCCGGUCUUGUGCACAACAUUGCAUACAUGAUAGACCUUACGGCUGAAGCAUAGGGGACGGUACUCAUCUUUUUCCUAUCUUCUGCAGUUACUGGACAUUGAGUCUUACUCAACUUUAUACCUUGGAACACAUGCAAGAACCCUUUCUUGGAUUGUUCCAUUUUGAACUUCUUCAAAACUUUCUCAAGGUAUGUGCUUUGUUAAAGUCCUAUCAGGCGUUUCGAUCUAUCUCUAUAGAUCUUAAUACCUAAUAUGUAAGCAGCUUCUCCUAGUUCUUUCACUGAAAAACUUUUGUUCAAGUAAUCCUUUACGCUCUCCAAAAACUCCACAUUGUUUCCAAUCAGCAAUAUGUCAUCCACAUAUAAUAUUAGAAACGAUGCAAAGCUCCCACUCACUUUCUUGUAUAUACAAGAUUCUCCUACAACUUGUAUAAACCCAAACGCCUUGAUCACCUCAUCAAAGCGCUUAUUCCAACUCCGAGAUGCUUGCACCAGUCCAUAAAUGGAUCGCUGGAGCUUGCAUACUUUGUUAGCAUUCUUUGGAACGACAAAACCUUCGGGUUGCAUCAUAUACAACUCUUCCUUAAGAAACCAUUAAGGAACGCCGUUUUGACAUCCAUCUGCCAGAUUUCAUAAUAAAAAAUGCAGCUAUUGCUAACAUGAUUCGGACGGAUUUAAGCAUCGCUAUCGGUGAGAAUGUCUCAUCGUAGUCAACUCCUUGAACUUUUGAAAAACCUUUGCCACAAGUCGAGCUUUAUAAACGGUCACAUUACCGUCCGUGUCCGUCUUCUUCUUCAAGAUCCAUUUGUUCUGAAUAGCCUUGCGACCUUCAUUUAAUACUUCCAAAGUCCACACUUUGUUUUCAUACAUAGAUCCUAUCUCGGAUUUCAUGGCCUCUAACCAUUUGUUGGAAUCUCGGCCCACCAUUGCUUCUUCAUAAUUUACAGGCUCAUUGUUGUCUAACAACAUGAUAGAUAAGACAGGAUUCCCGUACCACUCAGGAGCAGUACGUGGUCUUGUCGACCUGCAAGGUCCGAUAAUAACUUGAUCCGAAGCCUCAUGAUAAUCAUCAUUAGCUUCCUCCUCAACUGGUGUUGCCUCGACAGAGAUUUCCCUCUGCCCUGCGCCACCAUCCUGUUGGAGCAGAGGUUCCACAACCUCAUCAAGUUUUAUCUUCCUCCCACUCAAUUCUUUCGAGAGAAACUCUUUCUCAAGAAAAGCUCUGUUCUUAGCAACAAACACUUUGCCCUCGGAUCUAAGAUAGAAGGUGUACCCAACUGUCUGUUUUGGGUAACCUAUGAAGAUGCACUUUUCCUCUUUGGGUUCCAGCUUUUCAGGUUGAAGCUUUUUGACAUAAGCAUCGCUUCCCCAAACUUUAAGAAACGACAACUUUGGCUUCUUGCCAUGCCAUAGCUCAUAUGGUGUCAUCUCAACGGAUUUUGAUGGUGCCCUAUUUAAAGUGAAUGCAGCUAUCUCUAAUGGAUAGCCCCAAAACGAUAAUGGCAAAUCGGUAGGAGACAUCAUAGAUCACAACAUAUCUAAAAAACUACGAUUACAACGUUCGGACACACCAUUACGUUGUGGUGUUCCAGGCGGUGUCAACUGUGAAACGAUUCCACAUUGUCUUAAGUGAGCACCAAACUCGUAACUCAGAAAUUCGCCCUCUCGAUCAGAUUGUAGGAACUUGACCUUCUUGCUAUGAUGAUUUUCAACUUCACUCCGAAAUUGUUUGAAAUUUUCAAAUGUUUCAGACUUGUGCUUCAUCAAGUAGAUAUAUCCAUACCUACUCAAAUCAUCAAUGAAGGUGAGAAAAUAACGAUAUCCGUCAUGCACCUCCACACUCAUUGUUCCGCACACAUCAGUAUGUAUGAUUUCCAACAAGUCACUUGCACGCUCCAUUGUUCCAGAGAACAGAGUCUUAGUCAUCUUGCCCAUGAGGCAUGGUUCGCACGUGUCAAGUGAUUCAAAAUCAAGUGACUCCAAAAGCCCAUCAGCAUGGAGCUACUUCAUGCGCUUUACACCAAUAUUACCUAAGCGGCAGUGCCACAAAAAGGUGGCGCUAUCAUUGUUAACUCUACAUCUUUUGGUCUCAAUGUUAUGGAUAUGUGUGUCAUCACAAUCAAGAUUCAAUAUGAAGAAACCCCUCACAUUGGGUGCAUGACCAUAAAAGAUAUUACUCAUAUAAAUAGAACAACCAUUAUUCUCUGACUGAAAUGAGUAACCGUCUCGCAAUAAACAAGACCCAGAUAUAAUAUUCAGGACAAUUAAAGUUCAGCUAAUCAUAUUACUAAUAAACUCCCACUCAAAUACACAUCCCUCUAGUUAUUUGAGUGUGGCAUGAUCCAAAUUCACUAACUCAAGUCCGAUCAUCACGUGAGUUGAGUGUAGUUUCAGUGGUAAACAUCUCUAUGUUAAUCAUAUCAACCAUACGAUUCAUGCUCGACCUUUCAGUCUCUUGUGUUUCGAGGCCAUGUCUGUACAUGCUACGCUCGUCAAUCUUAGCCCGAGUGUUCCGCGUGUUCAACUAUUUUGCACCUGUUGUAUGUGAACGUUGAGUCUAUCACACUCGAUCAUCAUGUGGUGUCUCGAAACGACGAACUGUCGCAACGGUGCACAGUCGGGGAUAACACAAUUUUAUCUUGAAAUUUUAGUGAGGGAUCACCUUAUAAUGCUACCGUCGUUCUAAGCAAGAUAAGGUGCAUAAAAGGAUUAACAUCACAUGCAAUUCAUAAGUGACAUGAUAUGGCCAUGAUCUUGUGCUUCUUGAUCUCCAUCACCGAAGCACUGGCAUGAUCUUCAUCAUCACCGGCGCCACACCAUGAUCUCCAUCAUCGCGCUGCCAUCGAGGUUGUCAUGCUACCUAUGCUAUUACUACUAAAGCUACAACCUAGCAAUAUAGUAAACGCAUCUGCAAGCACAAACGUUAGUUUAAAGACAACCCUAUGGCUCGUGCCGGUUGUCGUAGCAUCGACGUGCAAGUCGAUAUUUAACUAUUAAAACAUGAUCAUCUCAUACAUCCAAUAUAUCACAUCAUGUAUUUGGCCAUAUCACAUCACAUGCAUACCCUGCAAAAACAAGUUAGACGUCCUCUAAUUUGUUGUUGCGUGUUUUACGUGGAUGCUAUGGGCAUCUAGUAUGAUCACAUCUUACUUAUGCAAAACCACAACGGUGAUAUGCAAAUUGCUAUUUAACCUUUCUCCAAGGACCGCCUCGGUCAAAACCGAUUCAACUAAACUUGAAGAAAUAGACACCCGCCAGUCAUCUUUAUGCAACAAGUUGCAUGUUAGUCGAUGAAACCGGUCUUUCGUAAACGUACGAGUAAGGUUGGUCUGAGCCACUUCAAUCCAGCAAUACCACUGAAUCGAGAAAAGACUAAGGAGGGCAGAAAAUCGCACAUCAAUGCCCACAAAAACUUUUGUGUUCUAAUCGAGAUUACAUCUACGCAUGAACCUAGCUCAUGAUGCCACUGUUGGGGAACGUUGCAUGGGAAACAAAAAAAUUCCUACGCACACGAAGACCUAUCAUGGUGAUGUUCAUCUACUAGAGAGAGAUCAGAUCCACAUACCCUUGUAGAUCGCUAAGAGGGAGGCGUUAAGAAACGCGAUUGAUGUAGUGGAACAACUUCAUGAUUCAGAUCACCGCCAUCCCACGAUCCGUCCCGAUCUAGCACCGAAUGGACGGCACCUCCGCGUUCAGCACACGUACAGCUCGAUGACGAUCUCCCCCUUCUUGAUCCAGCAAGAGAGACGGGUAAGUAGAUGAGUUCUCCGGUAGCGUGACGGUGCACCGGUGAUAGUGAUGAUCUAUUCCUGCAGGGCUCCGCCCGAGCUCCACUGAAAUCUGAUCUAGAGGAAGAAUUACGAAGUAGAGGUUUAGGGUUGCACGUGGCAAAGUUGUGUCUCGAAAACCUUAAAACCUCUAGUAUAUAUAGGAGGAGGGGAGGGGCUAGCCUUGAGGCUCAAGGGAGCCUCUAGGGCGUCGGCCGAGUGGAGGAGGAGGGACUCCUACUCCAAUUCGGUUUGGAAGGAGGAGUCCCUUCCUUCCUUCCCACCUCCUCCCUUUUUUCUUUUCUCCUUUCAUUUUUUCUCUUGGCCGAAAUAGUCCUAUUGGGAUGGCCUCACCAGCCCACCAAGGGCUGGUGCGCCACCCAUGGGCCUAUUAGGUUCUCUCCCGGGUGGGUGGCCCCUCCCGGUAGAAACCCGGAACCCAUUCGUUACUCCCGGUACACUGCCGGCAAUGCCCGAAAUCUUUCCGACAGCCAAAUGAAACAAUCCUAUAUAUCAAUCUUCGUUUCCAGACCAUUCCGGAAACCCUCGUGACGUCCAUGAUCUCAUCCGGGACGCCAAAUAAAACUUUGGUCACCAGCACCUAUAACUCAACUAUACCAAAACGUCACCGAACCUUUAAGUGUGCAGACCCUGCGAGUUCGAUAACUAUGCACACAUGACCUAAGACACUCCCAGGUCAAUAUCCAAUAGCGGGACCUGGAUUUCCAUAUAGGAUCCUACAUAUUCUACGAAGAUCUUAUCGGUUGAACCUCAGUGCCAAGGAUUCAUAUAAUCCCGUAUACCAUUCCCUUUGUCCUUCGGUAUGUUACUUGCCCGAGAUUUGAUGGUUGGUAUCCCUAUACCUAGUUCAAUCUCGUUACCGGCAAGUAUCUUUACUCGUUCCGUAAUACAAGAUCUCGUGGAUAACACUUUAGUCACAUUGCUUGCAAGGCUUAUAUGUGAUGUUGUAUUACCGAGUGGUCCCCGAGAUACCUCUCCGUCCCACGGAGGACAAAUCCCAGCCUUGAUCCAUGCUAACUCAAUGGACACCUUUGGAGAUACCUAUACAACACCUAUAAAGUCACCCAAUAACGUUGCGACGUUUUAUACAUACAAGGUAUUCACCCAGUGUCAGUGAGUUACAUGAUCUCAUGGUCAUAGGAAUGAAUACUUGACAUGCGGAAAACGAUAGCAAUAAAAUGACACGAUCACAUGCUACAUUUAUAGUUUGGGUCUUGUCCAUCACAUCAUUCUCCCAAUGAUGUGAUCACACUAUUUUAUUUAAAUGCCUUCCUGUGAGGCCAAAAAUGGUCUCUUAUGAAGGAAAGCUAUUUUUAUUGCUUUCAAAAUAUUUAAGAAAAUUUAGGGAAACUGAGUGGACAUACAUAUUCCGUAUAUAUGAGUUUUAACACAUGGUCAUGUUCAAAAUAUUGGGCAAACCCCUUCAAAACCCUUCCUACCUAUUUCAAGCUUUUGGAAUAUUUCUAUAAGAAAUAUUCUCAAUAAAUUCCUGUAAAAUUCUAGCAUGUCACAUAUGAUAUAUGUGAUGAUCUUGCCAAGUUUCAUCUCAAUCCAAGUUGAUUUGAUUUCCGUAAUUAUUCUAAAACCCUAUUUGUACAAUUCCAAAUUUGAGCAACUCUACAUAGCCAAGUGUCUCCAAUUGUGCUCAAAUUUGGUAGACAUGUUCUGAUACUAUAAUAAUGGAUCCACACCAAGUGGUUCAUCAAGGAGAAUAGAAGAACUGUCCCAAGCCCCUUAGAACCCUCUUUGUUUAUUUUUGACCUUUGGAGACUUUACAUUCUAACAUUUCUCCAAUUGACCCAAAACUUUUUGGGCAUGCUUUAAUGCUCAAUUAAUGCCCCAAACAAAAUAUUGGAUUUGUGGGAAUAUAUUUGAAUAGUUUUGUAAGCAGAAGGACAUUUCUGCACAUUUCAUGGGUUUUCCAAGUCUACAUUGGAAACCUUAUCCACCAAAUGCCAAAUUUGGUGUCCAAGCUUAUUUUCAUCUAUUAUUUCACCCCGUCAAGUUUCACAUCAAUUGAAGUCCAUAUGGUAGCCCUGACACUCAUCAAACACCUUGUGUGCACUCACCAAAGUGGCUACUUUGGCCCCUUUCACAUUUACCCUUGAGCUUAAACUUUUACCACAACCUCCCCUAGUUACCUUUUUUACUCCAGUAGCUUUGCCAUGGCCACUAGUCAAUUAUUGGAGAGAGACUCCUUGUAGCUACCCUUCAUUUUCACCAUGGCAGCACCCUUUUUACCUCUCUUCCUAUACUUCUGCUUAAUCCAAUGCCCCCACAUUCUUCCAGGGCAUCUCUAAUAUGUCAAUGCAUCAUUUCAAACCAAGAUAUGGCAUGCUCAUGUAGGAAAAAUGAGUAGCACAUCUACAAGUUGAUUUCUGGCUGAACUGUAGCUUUGUACAUCACGUACUAGUUACCCUCCUUUGCUUGAGCUCAAAUUUCGCAGUGAUGUAGUCCUUGCAUAGCUAACACUAACAAACAUUGAUUUUCCCCAAGACUCCCCAUUUGAGACCCACUUUUAUUAUCCCUAAGUUUGCUGCUGCAAACUCGAACUCAAUCAAAGCCCAGUCUGACCACCUUCAUGUACUUCCAAACUCCUCAAUCUCCCUCCUGCAAGUAUGACUUACAUGUUGGACUUGUUUGACUCGUCAUGAGGACCCUGUAGACAUAAGUGGCCAUCGAGACCACCACCCUGGCCUGCAACAAGGGUGCUCUGCACCUUGUUUCCUUCUUCGAGAUCUCAUCCGGCCGUUGUUACGUGUCUCAGAGCACCAGGGCAUCCCCCUUGACUGGUCCAAGCCCUCCCCGACGCCUAGAAGCCGCCAAGUUGCCCCUGGCACGCAUGCUCUUGCCGUGCACCGAGCUCCGAGGUGAUCCCCUCCCGUGUCCCCCCUCUACUUAUCCCCUCCCCGGGCCCCCUCUGGCUUUCCCCUCAACCUCUUCUCUCUCCCAGAACCCUCAGCACCUUCCCCCUGUGGCUCCCAUGGCGUCGUGCGGCCGAGGCCGAGCUGGGCGCCAGCUCCUCCGUGGCCAUGUCGUUGGAGAGCUCCGACCCUUCCCCUCGCCCUAGGCCAUGGAACAAGGGCGACACGACCCCCUAGUCUAGUAGGAGCACCGACCGUCGUCGGGGGCGGCCCUAUCAGUCGGGGCAGGCGAGCUCCAGCCAAAUCGAGCUCCUGCCUCUCCCAUGUGCGAGGGGGAGGUAGGAGAUGAUCCUGGCAAGGGGCCCCCCCCUCUAAGCCUCCUCCGGGCCGGGCCCAUGUGAUACGCCCAAACGUAUCUAUAAUUUCUGCUUGUUCCACGAUCUUCUGGGUGACAUUGUUAUAUGUUUUGCUACACUUUUAUAUCUUUUUACACAUAUUUGGACUAACCUACUAACUCAGUGCACCCAGUGCCAUUUCUGUGUGCUGAUGUCUUUUUUUGCAGGGGCUUUUAGCCAAAUUUCCAAAGCCCAAAAAUCCCAAGAAAAAUAUAUAAAAUUCAGCAUGACGGAAGCUUCCCGAUCACCAAAGAUGGGCCAGAGGAGAGCCAGGGGCGGCCCAGGCGGCCACCCUGUGCGGCCUGGCCCCAGGCCGCGCCCACAGGCCGCCUGGGUGAGCUCCACCUCCUCUGAUGCCCUCCUUUGGACUAUAUUUACCCCUCCGAUUGAAAACCCUUGAGGAUAUCCAAAAUCGCUAAUUUCUCCAUCGUUCCGUCGCCGCAGCGCUUCGGAGAUCGGGAGCAUCAGAAGACCUCUUAUCGACACCCUGCCGGAGGGAGGAUUGACCUCCGAGAGCUUCUCCACUGCCAUGGACGCUUCCCGGACGUGCCGUGAGUAGUCCUCCUUGGACCAUGAGUCCAUGACCAGUAGUUAUGUGAUGUCUUCUCUCCAAUCUUGUGCUUCCAUGAUUAGCCCUUGUGAGCUGCCCUAGAUGAUCAAGGCUAUUGCUAUUGCUAUGCUCGGUUUGUUGGGAUCCAAUGGAUUAUGAGAUUAUGCUCUGAUUGUUAUGAUUUAUAUAUUUGAUUAUACUUUUAUAUUAUGUUCUUUAGUGAUUCAUGCAUGUUCUUCGUUGCUCUUUAUUGCUUUGGAAUAGUAGAUUGUAACUCCAAGAGGGAGCGUUAUGCAUUAUUGUGGGUCCAUGCCCCGUGAUGUCUAGCUUGAGUGACAGAAACAUGAGACUAGGGGAUGUGUUGUUGCCACCAGGGAGAAAACAACGGUGCUUGUGACCACAGUUGCAAGGAUUGUUUACCUUAUGCAUAGUUCGUUAAUGCAGUUGUCCGUCGCUUUGAGUUUACACUUUGGGUGGGGCUCGCAACUUAAUACCAGCGAGAUGUUCUGGAUAGAUAUAUAAAGGUGGAUGAUUAGUAAGUAGAUGCUGGUGAAUAAACAGUCUACUUGUCUUGGCGUACUACCCAUUACUAUUGAGCCUCUAACUCUGAAGUAGCAUAAUUAGCAUUGCGGUGUGUUUAUAAUUCUAUCAAUUGCCGAGCUGUAAUUUGUUUACCCAAGCAUAGUUGUUUAUCAUAUUUUGGGAGAGAGACAUCACUAGUGAACAUCAUGUGACUCCGGUCCAUAUCACCAUCAUUGCUUACACCUCCAUCAUUUACUACUUUCAUUUACUUUUCACUUGAAAUCACUAUCACUAUUCCCACGUGUGUUUUGAUCCUUUGCAAACUACAAGGCCAGAGAGAUUGACAAUCUCUCUGUACUCAUUGGGAGCAAAGUUAUUUGUUGUGUGUGCAGGUCCACGUCUUCUGCUAGCGCCAGGGUGGAAGACACCUACUUGUUAAGCCUAGGAGUCCACUUGGUUCGAUAAACCUUACAGUCUCCGUGUAAGGGAAAUUUUUUGCUGACUACAUCUCCACCUUCCACUUCGGGUGACCAACGAGGGGCGAGAAGUAUAUCCAUCAACUCGUCAUCAAGCAAGUUUCUUGCGCCGUUGUCGGGGACUCCAGUCUUCAAGAUAGGGGAGUUGCACACUAUCUUUGACCUUUGCUUUUUAGUCUUGUUAGUUUGCUUUCUAGUUUUUGCUUUAGAGUCUUAUACAAAAAACCACAAAAAAUUAGUUACUUUGCUUUGUUUAGUCAGUAUGCCUAAGUCCUUUGCCUCUAGUGUCGUCCCCGAAGGAGAGAUUCUCACCUUCAAACAAAGGGUUGGAGAAAGUUUGAAAGUUCCUUGGUUUAGAAUUAAAAAUUCUCAAGAUAGAGACACCAAGAAGAAAUCCACCACUAUUUUGCUUAGAAAUUUUUACGUUGGUAUUACUUCUUGGCAUUGGUUUGUUCUAGACACAACAAUAGGAGGGAAUUUCAUGGAAGUUCCCGUUGGGGAGGCAUAAAAGAAAACGCUUGUUGUGAGGCAACCCAAUUCGUUUUUUACUUUCAGUUUUAGUGGUCUUGAUGCUUGUUACUACUUUAGCAACAUCAUUGUAUCUUUAUUUUCAAGCUUUGUGCCAAGUUUUAGCCUCCGAUUAAAAGAAAGUUCAAAAUUGGUGACAUGGUGUCGAGAAAUAGAUUAUGUCUGCUUGACGGAAAAAUUAGCCAAGAAUCACCAGAUCAUCUUUUUAAUCUGAAUUGUUUUUAACGCAUGCUGUAUAUAAUUUUAUUUCUGGCAUGUGUUCUGGAGUUUUUUGAUUCGAGUUGCAGAAGUGCCCUGAAAAAAUUAUUUAAUACUUGUUGUUCUGUUUUUCAUAGCUUGUGACACGUUUUGCGUUUUCAUCAUUUUGCAAAUCUUAAGCUUGCUUUUCUGUUGCAAAAACCUUUUGGCAAUCAUGAUAAACAGUAGAUUUUCAUGAAAAUAUUUAUUUACAAUAGGUGAUAAAUUAUUUUAUCAUGGGUACUAACCACUCUAAUCAUCUUAUGAUGAGUUUCGUAUGAAGGGAGUUUUCAAGUAUGCGAUGGAAGAUGGUGAAAGAAGAUGAAAGAAGAUCCACGAGUGUCAAGCGCUCAAGUUUGGGGAUGCCCCCAUGCACCCCKCAAGAAAUAUUAAAGGAUACUCAAGCAUUUAAGCUUGGGGAUGCCCCCGUGCAUCCCCUUCUCUAUCAACAAUCAUCAGUUCGUCCAUGUCGAUGCUAUAUUUUUACCACUUCAUAUGUUAUGUGCUAUGCUUGGAGCGUCUCGCUCUUCAGUUUUUAGUUUGUUUUAGUUUUUCUUUCUGUUCAUAAAAAGUCGGAACCUAGCCUUCCUUGUUUGGGAGAGAAACACGCUCCAUUCCACUCUAGAACACAACAUAGGCCUUCAUGCUUAUCUUUCUUGUGUGUUCUCUAUCUUUAUGUAGCUGCUAUCAUGCUUAGCUUUUAGUUUUCAUGCUAUAUCCUUUUAAGAGCUUUUUAUUCAGGUUGCUUUUGGAACUCUCUUGAUUUAUCAUGCUUAUCUUGUUUAGAGAAUUGUCUCGUUGCACUGAGUUGUGUGUCUUGCAUGAGUAGGUAAUUGAGGUUGAUAUUUAAGUAUAGUAGUAACUUGCAAUAGUUUUGAGGUAUUGAUUUGAGUAACAUUUGGACUAUUGGUGCCAAGAGCUUGAGCCUAUUAGUGAUAGGUGUCAUAUUUUGGGAAAUCAGUGUGUUUUUCAAAAAUUAAAAAUUAGUUGAGAACUCUAGCUACUAGAUUGAUCGCUAUCCUCUGGAGGGGUUGGAAUAUAUAGAGUACCCUCACGUUACCAUGGGUCGAGGAUGCGCAAGGAUAACCAAACCCCCAAACACUCCUCCUCGGGGUACUUGUUUCUUUGUGAAUCUCCUAACUAGAUAGAGAGUUACCGAUAAUAAGUGUAUGAGUUCUUCGGACUAAUGCGGGUAUUCGAUUGUUGGCACUUCCAGCAUCCAUAGUUUGCUAGCCACUUUGGUAUCAUGCAUUGCCCUUUCUCACCUUGAGAGUUGGUGAAAACUUCACCGGUGCAUCCAAACCCUUGGCAUGAUACGCUGUGUCAUCAUAAGCCUCAUUAUAUUUUCCCUCAAAACAACCACCAUACCUACCUAUUAAGGCAUUUCCAUAGCCUUUCCGAGAUACAUUGCCAUGCAACAUCCACCAUCUCAUGACUUGAUCUUCAUUUCAUACAUGCUUUUGCUUGAUCGAGGAGUCGCGUGCUAGUUGGGCCUUGCCCUUAUUAUUGCUACAUGACGCGCUAGUUUCAUUGCUUAUCCUGCUACACUGGCAGAGGCAUACAUUUGCAUACAUCAUGAUAGCUUUCAUUUGUCUUUAUGUGAGUACUUCUUAUAAAGUGUGAUGAUCUUCUUUUUAUUCUUGUAAAACAUAGAGUGUUUCCCUUAAGUGAGGAAAAGAUCCCAAAGAGNAUAAAAAAAUAAAAUAAAAUAAAAUAAAAAGAAAAAAGGAAAGAAAUAAAAAGAGAGAAGGAGAAACACUACUAUUCCUUUUGAAAGAUGCACCCUCGUACUCCAUUGCUAUAUUUGUACUCCAUAGAGAUUAUCCUUCAUGCAUAACUAUGUGGGGACCCUUACACUAUAGAACUUGGCUUGUAUAUUCCAAUGAUGAGCCUCCUCAAAUGAGCUCUAGGUCUUCAUGAGCAAGCAAGUUGGAUGCACUGUAACACCCCAGAUUUUUUUUAAUAAAAUUUGGCCUAAGUUGUUUUUGAAAUUCAUUUCUGGGUUUUGUGAUGAUUCCAAAACCCCUCUUAUCCUUGAUUUCAUUAAUAGCUCUUCCUUGAGAUAGAGCUUUUAAAAUUUAUUUGUGGCUUGGAUGUUGACUCUAACAUUUUUUUUCUCCACUAAAUAUUCUGGAUAAGACUUUUCUUUAAUUAUUACCUUCCCUUUUCUAUUCUUUCAACACUAGUUUUAAAUUUUCCCAGAUCCAGUUUUGAACUACAGCUGCCUGUUAACCUCUUCUAAUUUUUUCCGAAAUAGCUUCACAAUUACAUACUAUGUUCCUCAAUCAAUUUUAUAUAAGAAUUGAACCAACUAUUUUGGUAGGAUUAAGCAAAUUAAUUAAUCUUAUUUCCUGGUCCAAUUAUAGAUUUGCACUACAACCCCUUUAGUUAAGGUCCCAAAAAUUCUGUAAAAAUUUACAGUAGCCAAGGGAUUCUUACAAACGAGUUUUAUGCAAAAACCUAGCCAAGUGUUUUGGGAAAAUAUUUAUUUUUGCCAUAUUUUCUGUUAUGUUCCAAAUAGGUGCUUUACACUACAACCUCCUCAUUAAAGUCUCUAAUAAUUCUAUAAAAAUUUGGAGGUGUCCAGAAGUUUAUAUGGAUGAGUUUUCUGCAAAAAUAAAUGUUGGUAUUUUGGAAUAUUGGACCAUAUUGACCUUUUGAACUACAACCCCACCUUUUCCUUCCCCAAUGCUUUUGGAAAUUUUUGUGCUUGUAGUCCACCCUGUUAAACCCUUAAGUCCCAAAUUUCAACUUCAUUCGAAUUAUUUUUACCCCUGUUACACUGCUACUUUGUUUCUGUCCAGAAAUGGGUUUUACUAAACUUGCAUUGUGGAGUUGCUAGAUGAGGCCUUGCCAUCUUUGAGCACAUCCAGGGAGACACCUAUCUGGUAAUUCCCAUGGCCAGAAAGUGCCCCUAGAGGCCAUUGGCAUUCUGUCGAAAACCUGUUGACCAUGAGCAUAAUUGGCAUGCCUUUUUGUUUGUAUGAUGAGGUUAGGCCCGAGCCCAAACCAGCAUGUCCAGCAAGCCUUUGCCAUCCCCAUCCUUGAAUCUGGAGACUUUCUUCUCCAUCCACAAGCUCUUGCCUGCCCUCGCAUUCUGUCGAGCACCUAGCAGGUGUGCCAGUGCAUGUUGUAGAGCGUGUAUAUCGCAGAGAGAGCACCCGAGCCGCCGCGUCACGUGUUGUGUUGUUUCCCUUGUUGCCCAAGGCACGCGAGCGCGUGAGCUCACUCGCAUGAGUCCCUCCUGCGUUCCUGUAACCUCUGCUGCCAUCCUGCACCCCUGCUCCACCACAGCUGUGCUGCCCAUUGUCUCCAGCAGCCCUGCGCAGUGCCGCAGCAUCGCCCCAGCAACCCUAGCACGACGCCAGCACCUUGGACCACCCGUGUGACGAACCAGAGCUCCCCUUGACUCGUCGCUACGUCACUGCCACCCCUCGUGCCCUUGCUAGAGUCUGUUCUUGGUGUUCGUAUCCUCUCCACCGCAGAACCGUUUGCCCCGGAUAUUUAAGGAGCCCCUGACGGUUGAAGCCCGAUGAAAAGCAUCCCCUUGAAGCCAUAGCUAGCUCCCCAAGCCCCAAUUUAAGCCAUAGCUCUCUUCUUCCCCGGUUCUGGUGAGCUCCAUCCCGGGAGCCACCCCGGAGCGAUUCGAGCUAGCCAGAGUCUCUCCGUCCCACCCGAGCUUGCCAUUGAUUCCCCCUGGACCUCCCGGAGUUUUUCCCUAGCUCAGCCCUGCCCUAGAACCCCUCCUAGCUAUUGCCCCGCCGGAGCCGAAGCUUCCCUCCGCCGCGGAGGAAGGGCCACUGAACGUGGACCAUCCCCGCAGCCCCAAGGCAUGGGAACGGAUGCGCCUCAUCGCCCUGAGCACUCCGGUGCCCUUGGUUUCCCCGAUGGAGGUCUUCAUCACCGGCGAGUCUCGCGGGAGCCCCUCCUUCCUUCGGCCAGAGGAGGAAGAAGGAGGUCGGGUGAAACCUACCAGCGGGCCCCGCUCGUCAGCGUCCCACUCCUUCGGCCCGAGCCUGCGCAAGUGGAAGGGCACUAUGCCAAGUACGUUUCCCCUCCUCUGCUAGCGUCUUUUGACCGAAAACGUUUUCCUUCAUUUGUGUUUUAAAAAAGAUUCUGUUCAAAAAAAAAUUUGGCCACAACUUUUUAUAGGAAGCUCCAAAUGAGUUGAUUCUUCUUCUCACCCCUUUCAAAUUCUGUCUAGUUUAUUUUAGUAUUUAUUUAGAAAAAAUCUAAUACAAAUUUUUGUGCUGUUUUUGAAUUGUGUAUUAAUUAGCAUAUAUUCUUAAAUAGGCCUUGAAGAGAGGAUUAAAACUUGCAAAAGUUUUGUGAUGAACUCCACCUCUCUACAGUUGGAAGGCAAGCAUCUUGAACCCACUUUUUUAUCUUGGUCAUAUAUGUUUGCCUGUUGAUAGUGACAUGGGAUUAUGUUACUCUUUUGGUGUUAUUUCAUGUGGCAAAUCAUGCAUGUGGAUACAUGAUUUCGAGGAUAAAAGUUUCUAUGAAUUUGGUGCACGGAUACUGGUCACCCCUUCCUGCCCUACAUGCCUACCGAAUGAGGUUCGGUGAGAGUCGUGGUCCUGUGGAGACACGACCAUGGAUUGACAUCUCGUGGAUGAGGUCAAAAAGACAUGUUGGGUGGGCAGUGACUCUAUCUGUACCCGGUUUUUACUAAUCAUGCAGGUCGCGUUUAAACCUCCUAAGUCGACAAUAGAUCGAGUCUUGUCAGUAUGUCUCCUCACUUGCGUGCUACCAUAGCUACCUGGAUAAUGGAUCUGGUAUAGUUAGUUGUGGACCUAUUAUUAAUCACACACCAUUAGAGGUGCCGGGAUGAAGGUAUCCACGGCCAUGGUACAAAUCCAGUCAUACAUUCAGGGGGCAUGGGUGUUUCCGGUCUGGGACCGGAAGGGAGGGCACUCCCAUGAGUGCGCGAUAUAAAUAUUGUGAUCCCAUGCUAGUCGAGGUCGGAGCCUCCUCGUCUUAUGGUUUUACCUUGGCAGUGUAGUCCGGAUGAGACCGGGCUUCGCGGAGGUAAAGUGAAUGUGUGUUGAUUCUGAGUGUCCACUUCUAAAAUACCGUACACGGGAUUAGUCAUGAUGUGUAUUGAAAACCGUAAACUAUGGGUUAAGAAUACACCCUCUGCAGAGGCAAAACUAUUCGAGUAGUCGUGUCCACGGUCAAGGACAUUGGUUGAUUAGCCAAGUGUCGGUCUUCAGAGGUGGUUAGAGGAAAGUUACACAAAUAUGGUGAUAUGGUUGAUGAUUAUAAUUAUUAUAUUCUGAAGACUAACCAUUAUGAUUUUAUUGUCGGAUAUCCUUGGAAUGGUUCUACCUCUUGGAUAUUCUUUAUUAUCAUUUCUUAUAAGCCCUUUAUGUGGUGUCGCUGAGACGUCGGACUGUGGCAUUGUUUUAUCAUUUCUUAUAAGCCCUUUAUGUGGUGUCGCUCAGACACCCGACUAUGGCAUUCUUUUAUCAUUUCUUAUAAGCCCUUUAUGUGGUGUCGCUCACACGCCCGACUGUGGCGUUGUUUUAUCAUUUCUUAUAAGCCCUUUAUGUGGUGUCUCUCAGACGCCCGACUGUGGCAUGCUUUAUAAUGCAUCUGUUAUUAUUAUCUAUUAGGAUGGCCUAACAAAUUCAGUAUGAUUAUUACUUUACUACUAAUGCUAGACUAGUGUUUUCACUUGUUGUAGUAUUCUGGUAUUAUUAUGUGUGUUGAUUAACCCGUCAAGUCCUAUGUUUGUAUUCUUGAUGUUUGCGAGUAAAUUCAAAGUACUCACUGGCUUGUCCCUGGCUAUUAUCUUGGCCAGGUAGCGUGCUUUGGAAGGUUGAUCCUGUCGUCUAACCCCGGGCAUAGACAUCGAAGGCAGCUUCCGUGCGAGAUAGGAGUUAACCCGGUAAGUUGUUCAUGUGGGAAAUGGAGUCCCAGAGGAGUUGGAGAUCCGUGUAGCGCUUUCGCCAUCAACCUCUAGAAACCCUUUUGAUAUACUCAUCAGACCACCUUGGUCUUGUACUUCAAUUUGUAUUUUUCUUGGAUAUUUGUAUCAACGAAAGGUGUGCCACCUAACAGUAUUCCUGGGGCUGGUAUGCUUGAGGGCCAUUUGAAGGGAAAUGUAAAUCCUUGAAAAUCCGGUCCCCACAACCUUGGUAUCAGAGCGAGGCUAACCGUUGGCUAAUCCUAUCUUAGCGAGGUCAAUAAGCCCUAGAAGACCACCUAUCCACCAGUGUCGCAACCACCACUCUAGUCUGCCCUAGCCUGUAGCCAAAUAGUGUCCGCUAACACCUUUAGGCAAGGCGGUGCCCAACCUAUCAGGCUAGCCCCAUGGUCAUACGCCAUUGGCCACGACCAUUUUGUCCUUUCUCGCAAUCUUGCGAGAGAAGACUCACUUUUCCUUUCUAUAAAGGGAGCGAUUGCCCAGCACAUCACGACCACAACCAUUUCAAGAUGCCAGGCCCCAUUAUUCACAAUAAACCACUGCCGCAGACCAAGGAGGUUUUGUAGCCAUCUUAGCCAUCCUGAUCCGUCGUGCCUUCGCUAUGGAAGAGCCUCCAGAGUAUGUUGUGUACCAAGGGCGCACGGGUGGUGACAUUCGUCACUUCUGGGCCACAGUACAGAUCUACGGCAGGAGUAUCACCCAAGAGCGUCCCCAUCGGUUCACCGCAAGGUCAACUUCCUAUGAGCCCAAAGCCACCCAGCUGGCAGCUCGAGAGGCAAUAGUUCAACUCAGGCACCAAUCGCCCGAAGUUAACUGCCGCUCAUUCUACUAGUACCCUAGCCGUGAAGGUUAUGGUAGGCCGGUCCAAGUUGCCAGCGGAGACCAGGAGACCGACCCUGCUUUGUUGCACCUUGUGCGCUACGUGAGAGCGCAAGAGGCACUGUAUGACCAGGUCACCCUUGACCUGCUCGCAGCUCGUGCAAAGCUAGCCCGUCGAAGGAGGAGAGAAGCGGAGCCCGAAGCCAGCAACCCUGUAGUGUUGUUUGGGAGACCGAUUGACCUCUAGCGGUCUGUCCCAGCUGUCGACCCGAACCAUGCGCCUAUCUCCCACGAGGAGCUUCGCCCCAUUUUGGGGAUUUCCUCCAACAGAACGAUAGCUACAGCACCCUGCCACACAUACCGUCGCUACCCCAACCUCAUAGCACCAACCCCUUCCCCGAGUAAGCGUGACACCGUAGUUCUGGCAAACUCAACGUCCGCAAGACCCAUUCAUCUAGAUGUAAAUGAAGUAGACUAAGCCCUAACCCUGCUAUGGAACUCGCUUGCAUGUAAUAUACGAGCUGUAUUUCAUUAAGCAAGCAAGCUGUCUGCGUCCAUUGUUUUAAGCCCCGUAGGUAAUCACUUAUGUAUGAUUUUGGGCUACAUAACUAUAGUUGGGCGUAACCUCAGGAAACCUUUUCCGAACAGUCUGCCAUAGUGAGGUGUCGUGUUUCGUAAGACUUUUAUCGUUGGCCUUGACCAGACCACGUUAAAAGCAAGACCAACCACCGAGACCAAGCCACCUCAGAGUUUGUGCCAAGCCAGUCCUAUAUAAGGAUCACCAAGUGAUUCUUCCGGUAUUGCCACCUCGUGCACUACCUUCAUACCCUUUUGCCAUGCAACCCCAAGGGAGUUACUUCAGAACCCCGGAUGCUACUCCGGACAGUGUUGGUAAAGUAUUGUGGGAUUUCACCCGUAGUACCAUGGGUUCUUCCCUUCCACCCCAGUACGAGCUGUUCAAAUCGAGGAUCACUUCCACCACCUUGAAAUAUUGGGCAGUUGUGCAUGUCUUCCCAGUAGACCCAAACCAAGACCCCACGGGAAUCUGCUUCAGCGGAAAAUCCAUGCCUACCCUCGAAAUGACCAUAGAGGUUGCUGCCUACGAAGCGGUUACUCACCUACGUUAUGCAGUGCCAUAUGCCAGUGAGAGGGGGUACUGUGGUUUUCCGAGCCGAGCGGUACCCGGAGGAACAAUGUCUGUUUCAGACCCUUGUUCAGAGAGGCACCCCGUGUUGGUCACGCUCGUGCAAUUAAUAUGUCAUUGCCCAGGAACACUUGACCCAGAGAGUGAUGGAUUUCCUCCAGAACCUCGCCAUCCAGGACCCUCAGAUCGCCAUCGGCGAACCCCUAAGACUAGACCCAGCAGGACGCACUCUGUGGAUCCUUCAACCGCUAGGCCUCGAGGACGAAGGAGAUGUUCCGCUACCCGAGAUAUUUUUGCUUGACCCCUAGCCUUGUGUUCCUUGAGCGCUUUGUUUCUACUUGCUAGUCUAGAUCCAGAUUGUUUAGAGCAACAGUUGUGCCUCACCUUGUAAAUUACUGCAUGCUUGUGUGUAUAUCAGUUGUGUGAUUGCUAUGCAUAUUCUCGGAUUAUUUUUCACAGGCCGAUUCUUUAGUUUAUGUUCACUCCGGCUGUAAGAUUUUUUCAUAGUAGGAUUUUAUUCACGCGCCAACUGUCUUACAACCACACUCGUUCCGCCACUACACUGACAACAGGACCACUCUUACGCUUAGUUAACACCUUGCUAAACACCACAGUUUUCCAUGUGGAAUACGUUAUGGAUGUCUUUAUUUUUGCACGGUGACGACCAACACACUGGCAAUCACCCAUGCACCCGUGCACACGCCUAGUAGUCGUGCUCACCGCCUUUGCGUAGAGACGCCACCAGAGCAGCAGCGUCGUGACGAUCAUCAUGGAUCAUCGCGCACAGCAGCACCGAGGACCCAAUCAGCAGCGCCACCCCUCCAGCUAGCAGGAUGAUCACCCACCCCGGAUGCCCGUUCACCAUUGGAGCUUCGCUUCGAGCUUCUGCUAGCAAAGGAGACGAGAGGAGGAAGCAGGAGAGAGUGAGGUCGAGUGUGAGGUAGACGAGACAACGAUGAGGUCGUUUUAUAGCUUGAGAUUGGUGUGCGAUGGACGCAGUCCACCAGCGCCGCUCGUCGCUCGAUCGCCGGUGUUCGGAAGCGAAUCCACGAGCAGUGCCGACAAGCGCUGGCCCACGAUGCGAGUGCACGCUGCACCAGCCGCUAGCACGUCGCGCACUACCGUUGUAUGACCCUAGACGCCUACACGCUUGAUGCCACGCGUGGAGAAGCUCGUAGAGCACGCGAGAGAGAGGUGAGAGCCGAAGGAAGAAGAAGAGGCUGAUGGUGGGACCUCGACCCACAUGUCAGUAGGAGGGAGCACUGUGCCGUCGUGUACGGCAAGUAAAUUCGGAAAUUGGAAAAAUUCCUUUUUUCAAAAUUAUUUUUGUCAUAGCCAUUCAUAGCAACACCUCGUUUUGCCAAACCAUAGCUUUUUUCUGUAUCACCAGUAUCACACUGUAGCUGCACCGAUUAUUGUUUUCACUAUGAUCUCCUUGCUUCUGUUUCUAUCCCAUCAGAGGUUUGUUUCUAACAAAUCUCGAGGAUGAGAUUUUUUUCCAGGGGGGUAGAGUUUGUAACACCCCAGAUUUUUAUAUAAUAAAAUUUGGCUUGAGUUGUUUUUAAAUUUCGUUUAUCGGGUUUCUGAUGAUUCCAAAACCCCUCUUAUCCUUAGUUUCAUCAAUAGCUCUUCCUUGAGCUAGAGCUUUUGAAAUUUAUUUGUGGCUUGGAUGUUGACUCUAACAUUUUUUCCUCCACUAAAUAUUGUGGAUAAGACUUUUCUUUAAUUAUUACUUUCCAUUUUUUAUUCUUUCAACACUAGUUUUAAAUUUUCCCAGAUCUAGUUUAGAACUACAGCUGCCUAUUAACCUCUUCUAAAUUUUCUUUCCCAAAUAACUUGAUAAUUACCUACUAUGUUCCUGGAUCAAUUUUAUAUAAUAAUUGAAUCAAGUGUUUUGGUAGGAUUAAGCAAAUUAAGUAAUCUUGCUUCCUCGUCCAAUUGUAGAUUUGCACUACAACCCCUUUAAUUAAGUUCCCAAAAAUUAUGUAAAAAUUUAUAGUAUCCAAGGGAUUCUUACAAAUGAGUUUUAUUGAAAAACCUAGCCAAGUGUUUUGGGAAAAUAUUUAUUUUUGCCAUCUUUUCUGUUUUGUUCCAAAUAGGUGCUUUACACUACAACCUCCUCAUUAAAUUCUCUAGUAGUUCUAUAAAAUCUUGGAGAUGUCCAGAUGUUUAUAUGAAUGAGUUUUCUGCAAAAAUAAAUGUCGGUCUUUUGGAAUAUUUGAGCACCACCUCUUGAUUUGUGAUGUGGACCAGAUUGACCUUUUGAACUACAACCCCACCUUUUCCAUCCCCAAUGCAUUUGGAAUUUUUUGUGCUUGUAGUCCACCCUGUUAAAACCUUAAGUCCCAAGUGUCAACUUCAUUGGAAUUAUUUUUACCCCUGUUACACUGCUACUUUGUUUCUGUCCAGAAAUGGGUUUUUACUAAACUUGCAUUGUGGAGUUGUGGAGUUGCUAGAUCAGGCCUUGCCAUCUUUGAGCACAUCCAGGGAGACAUCUAUCUGGUAAUUUCCAUGGCCAGCAACUGCCCCUGGAGGCUAUUGGCAUUCUAUCGAACACCUGUUGACCAUGAGCAGAAUUGGCAUGCCUUUUUGUUUGUAUGAUGAAGUUAGGCCCUAGCCUAAACCAGCAUGUCCAGCAAGCCUUUGCCAUCCCCAUCCUUGAAUCUGGAGGCUUUCUUCUCCAUCCCCAAGCUCUAGCCUGCCCUAUCAUUCUGUCGAGCACCUUGCAGGUGUGCUAGUGCGUGCUCUAGAGCGUGCAUAUCGCAGACAGAGCACCCGAGCCGCCGCGUCACGUGUUGUGCCAUUUCCCUUGCUUCCCAAGGCACCAGAGCACGUGGGCUCACUCGCAUGAGUCCCUCGUGCGUUCCUGUAUCCUCUCCUGCCCUCCUGCACCCCUGAUCCACCACAGCCACGCCGCCCGUUGUCUCCAGCAGACCUGCGCAGCGCCGCAGCACCGCCCAAGCAACCCAGCACGACGCCAGCACCUUGUACCACCCGUGCGACGAACGAGAGAUCCCCUUGACCCGUCACUGCGUCACCGCCGCCCCUCGUGCCCUUGCUAGAGUCUGUUCCCGGCGUUCUUAUCCUCUCCACCAGGGAACCGACGGCCCCAGCUAUUUAAGGAGCCCCUGACUGUUGAAGCUCGACGAAAAGCAUCCCCUUGAAGCCAUAGCCAACUCCCCAAGCCCCAAUUUAAUCCGUAGUUCUCUUCUUCCCUGGUUCCGGUGAGAUCCAUCGCUGCAGCCACCGCGGAGAGAUUCAAGCUUGCCAGAGUCACUCUGCCCCACCCGAGCCCGCCAUUGAUUCCCCCUGGACCUCCUGAAGCUUUUCCCUAGCUCAGCCCUGCCCUAGAACUCUUCCUAGCUAGUGCCCCGCUAGAGCCGAAGCUUCCCUCCGCCGUGGAGGAAGGGACGCUCAACUCCGACCACGCCCGCAGCCCCAAGGCACGGGAAUAGAUCGCGCCUCAUCACCUUGAGCACGCCGGUGCCCUUGGUUUCCCUGAUCGGAGGUCUCCACCGCCGGCGAGCCUCGCCGGAGCCCCUCCUUCCUUCGGCCAGAGGUGGAAGAAGGAGACCGGGUCAAACCUGCCAGCGGGCCCCGCUCGUCAGCGUCCCACCCCUUCGGCCUGAGCCCGCGCAAGUGGAAAAGCGCACUACGCCAAGUACGUUUUCCCUCCUGCGCUAGCGUCUUUUGACCGAAAACGUUUUCCUUCAUUUCUGUUUUUAAAACAUAUUCUGUUCAAAUUUUGUUUUGGCCACAACUUUUUAUAGGAAGCUCCAAAUGAGUUGAUUCUUUUUCUCACCCCUUUAAAAUGCUGUCUAUUUUAUUUUAGUAUUUAUUUAAAAAAAUCUAUGACAACUUUGUGUGCUGUUUUUGUAUUGUGUGUUAAUUAGCAUAUAUUCUUGGACUCCACCUAUCUACACUUGGAAGGAUUAAAACUUGCAAAAGUUUUGUGAUGAACUCCACCUAUCUACACUUGGAAGGCAAGCAUCUUGAACCCACUUUUUUUUCUUGGACAUAUAUGUUUGCCUGUUGAUAGUGACAUGGGAUUAUGUUACUCUUAUGGUGUUAUUUCAUGUGGCAAAUCAUGCAUGUGGAUACAUGAUUUCGAGGAUAAAAGUUUCUUUGAAUUUGGUGCAUGGAUAGUGGUCACCCCUUCCUGCCCUACAUGCCUACCGAAUGAGGUUUGGUGAGAGUCGUGGUCCUAUGGAGACACGACCAUGGAUUGACAUCUCGUUGAUGAGGUCAAUAAGGCAUGUUGGGUGGGCAGUGACUCUAUCUAUACCCGGGUUGUACUAAUCAUGCAGGUAACGUUUAAACCUCCUAAGUCGACCAUAGAUCGAGUCUUGUGAGUAUGUCUCCUUACUUGCGUGCUACCAUAGCUUCCUGGAUAAUGGAUCAGGUACACUCAGUUGUGGACCUAUUAUUAAUCACACACCAUUAGAGGGGCCGGGAUGAAGUUAUCCACGACCGUGGUAUAAAUCCAGUCAUACGAUGAGGGCGCAUGGGUGUUUCCCGUCUGGGACCGGAAGGGAGGGCACUCCCAUGAGCGUGCGAUAUAAAUAUUGUGAUCCCAUGCUAGUCGAGGUCGGAGCCUCCCCGUCUUAUGGUUUUACCUUGGUAGCGUAGUCCGGGUGAGACCGGGCUUCGUGGAGGUAAAGUUGGUGUGUGUUGAUUCUGAGUGUCCACUUAUAAAAUACCGUACACGGGAUUAGUCAUGAUGUCUAUUGAAAACAGUGAACUAUGGGUAAAUAGUACAUCCUCUACAGAGUCAAAACUAUUCGAGUAGCCGUGUCCACGGUCAAGGACGUUGGUUGACUGGCCAAGUGUCGGUCUUUGGAGGUGGUUAGAGGAAAGUGACACAAAUCCGGUGAUAUGGUUGACGAUUAUAAUUAUUAUAUUCUCAAGACUAACCAUUAUGAUUUUAUUGUCGGAUAUCCUUGGGACGGUUCUACCUCCUGGAUAUUCUUUAUUAUCAUUUCUUAUAAGCCCUUUAUGUGGUGUCGCUCAGACGCCCGACUGUGGCAUUGUUAUAUCAUUUCUUAUAAGCCCUUUAUGUGGUGUCGCUCAUACGCCCGACUGUGGCAUUGGUUUAUCAUUUCUUAUAAGCCCUUUAUGUGGUGUCGCUCAGAUGCCCGACUAUGGCUUUGUUUUAUCAUUUCUUAUAAGCCCUUUAUGUGGUGUCGCUCAGACGCGCGACUGUGGCAUACUUUAUAAUGCAUAUGUUAUUAUUAUCUCUUAGGAUGGCCUAACAAAUUCAAUAUGAUUAUUACUUUACUACUAAUGCUAGAAUAGUGUUUUGAGUUGUUGUAGUAUUCUGGUAUUAUUAUGUGUGUUGAUUAACCUGUCAAGUCCUAUGUUUGUUUUCUUGAUGUUUGCGAGUACAUUCAAAGUACUCACUGGCUUGUCCCUGGCUAUUGUCUUGGCCAGGUAGCGUGCUUGGGAAGGUUGAGCAUGUCGAUGAACCCCGGGCAUAGACAUUAAAGGCAGCUUCCGUGCAAGAUAGGAGUUAACCCGGUCAGCUGUUCCUGUGGGAAAUGUAGUCCCAGAGGAGUUGGAGAUCCCUGUAGCGCUUCCGCUAUCAACAACUAGAAACCCUUUUGAUGUACUCAUCAGACCACCUUGGUCUUGUACUUCAAUUUGUAUUUUUCUUGGAUAUUUGUAUCAAGGAAAGGUGUGCCAGCUAACAGUAUUCCUUGGGCUGGUAUGCUUGAGGGCCAUUUGAAAGGGAAAUGUAAAAUCCCCGAAAAUCCGGUCCCCACAUACACCCCCACUAGGUCCAUUGGAGCAAAGUUGUCAGAAUCGCGACUCAAGUCUUAGAAUCUUACGACUUUACGAUCCAAACUAGCCCCUCUGAUUCUACGAUUUUGCUCAUAGAAUCUAAGAUUCUACGAUCCUGGUAGUUAUGAUUCUACGAUUCACGAUCCUACCAACAGAGCUCCGAUCCGAUUCAGAAUCGCGAUUCUGACAACCUUGCAUUGGAGAGCUUACCUUAGCUCAUAUGUGCAUCCAUUGCAUGGCAAUCCCUACUCCUCACAUCAUAUCUAUCAUUUGGCUUUCUCUCGCCUAUGGUUGUCCUCAUUGAUGUGAGCCUUUCACACCUUUUUGUCU
This 73801-nucleotide long non-coding RNA is filed under the name Hordeum vulgare. RNAcentral's name for it is "long non-coding RNA (HVUL_LNC007681)". Lineage: Eukaryota; Viridiplantae; Streptophyta; Magnoliopsida; Poales; Poaceae. The record is from RNAcentral.